Molecule: long non-coding RNA, 67572 nt
Filed under: Elaeis guineensis (African oil palm)
Lineage: Eukaryota; Viridiplantae; Streptophyta; Magnoliopsida; Arecales; Arecaceae
Description: long non-coding RNA (EGUI_LNC000104)
Source: RNAcentral
AGGGAAAGAAGGUUAAAAAUGUAUGUCAACUGAGAAUUAGCAUAAAAAACAGCCUCCAGGAUUAGAUUUCGAAAACAUACAAAGAAGAUGGAUUUGUGCUUAUGAACUUGAAAGAUCAUGUAAGAGGCCUGAGUGUGAUAUCAUAAGCUAUUAGGUAACCAAUGCCACUUCCCACCACUAAGAAAACAGAGAUUCCAGCGUAUAGCAGACGCCAGCAAGAGAUCAGACACCACAGCCAAAGCGAUCUCGAAACGACAUGACGUCAGCGACCCUUUCUAUAUCAGUGCAAACUUGAAAUGAAUCAACUUCCGCAAGUUUCUAAGAGGGCAUUAUUCUCUCAUAAGAACACUACAAACAAGAUAGCUCUUCAACAUGGAGAAUAUUCUCAAUGAUGGCUUGUGAGAGAAAUGACAAGGUUAUGAAAGCGAAGGGCCCCCAAUGAAAGAAGGUGAUGGCUGAUAUGACGUCCCUAUAACAUAGGCAUCAUUUUAUUAGAACCCAUGUGAUUCUUAAAAUUCCUAUGGAAGGUAAAGUAACACAUUUAACAAUAAUUACAACAACACAGUGACUUGACAGUACUUGGAGAAAAGCAGAGCACACCUCAGUGUUCUAUAUGAAAUUAAAUUACUGAUAUAUGAAAUCUGGAGAAGAGCAUGCGACAUAUUACUGAUGAUAUCAAAUAGCAAUUAAACAUACAGGUUUAUGUAGGACUGUUCCUUGCCAUUGGCUUCCUAGUUAGAGUACCACAUAACUGAAAAGGGAACAUACUCCACUUCUCGCCCACUUGGUAAUAUUCUUAAUUUCUUCAAUGAUCCUUGCAUAACUAGGUCGCUUUUCCACAUCGUCGACAUGAUAUCAUAGCAGGACCUUUAUACUUCAGAGAUGCUUUGGUGCGACUGGCUUUGCAAACAUAUGCCUGCAGAAUGGGCAAAAUUGGCUGGAUAGGUGCACAUCUGACAAAAAUUGGUGGGCCUCAUCAUCUAGGUAGUGGAAUGCAAUGCUGUCCAUCUAGGUGGGAGAAAAUUGAUAGAAACACCAAAAGAAUCUGAAAAAGAUGUAAAAGAAAAAAUUGACAAGGAAUCAUGGCAUACCUGACCAUAUGACUGCUCUGGAAACUGAAGACUAGGAGAUGCAGUAUAUCAACCUUCUAAUGAUCACAGUUGUUCGGUACCUGGAUGUGGCAAGAUCCGCUGCAUUUCUACUGCAGUCAAAAUCUUCCAUCUAAAUGGAGUUUAAUGCUAUACAGUGACCAUUUCAAGGUUGUGCAAGAAACCACUUUUAACUCUGAAUCAAUGGAAUCUGCUGUAUAAUUUAGUUCCAUCAUACGAUCGAAUUUCUUAUCACUGGCUCGUGCAUACUAGGAUAGCAGCUCUAGGAACCAAAUAAUGGAGUUUGCUGAUUAUAGUCCUCAAGGAGAAUUUCCAGCUAAGAGAGUGCUAGAGCACUACAAAAUAUGGAAGAUAAACCAGUUGUUCAGGAAGGAUUAUCACACUUUUUCUGACCAAGAAAAUUUGCACGUAAUGUUGUUUCAUUCUUAAUUGCCUAGUCAUACAAUUGGAAAGAAAUAGUUCAUGAUGGGACCCAGCUUUUAUAAGACAAGGAUGUUGUAGACUAAGAAAAUUAUCAAUCCUAACACCUUGAAUAUUGUAUUUUCCACACCAGGAACCAUUAGGAAGAUGGGAACACCAGAAUUUUAACAGCACAGAAUUUGUCUAAAAGGAGGACUCAAGGUCCACAAUCCGUCCCCCUUUGCUGUUCUGAAAACAAAACCACAGAUCAUCUGUUCAUAUCAUGCAGAUACAUCGCACCAAUUUGGCAAAGGAUAACACAGAAGCUUCACAUCCCCCAGCCCACAGUUUCCAUCAAAAACAUGUGGAAGGAUUGGCCAAGCAAGCUCCACAUCAAGGUUCACAAGCGAGCUUGAGAUAGGUUCGUCUCAACUGUCUGCUGGACCCUAUGGAAAGAGAGGAAAAGGAGACUGCUUCAUUUUGAAGCUCUCUCUCGGAAUAUGAUCUACCAACGUGCAAUCUUCCUCCUGGACAACUGGACUUCAUGCUACAAGGGGAAAGCUAAGCAAGUAGAAAUAAUCUCACAGCUAAAAACAGAAGUCAUAAAGUGGGUAACAGUUUCUUAAACAGAAAAAGACUUUGUUUCACAAAGAAAAGUUCUACAGCUCUGCUGACUAAGUAUUCCAUCUUAAAAGUCGUCAGCCAUCGGGUUGGUUUGGGGCUCCUGUAAGCCCCAAGCAAGCCAAACCAUCUUGUAAAUAAUCCAUGAAAUAUACUGUACAUAAUAAAUUUCGGGUGGUCCCAUUUUUCAGGUGGCUGAACCUCCCAUUGCCAUCAAAAAAAAAAAAGAGAGCCUUUUUUAUGGAUGGAGGAAUCAUGAAAUCUUCAUUCAUUGAAAACUAAUUUAAAGAGCAAAAGUCAGCUUUGAGGCCCUCUCCCAUGUAUCCUCGAUAGAAAAAAACAAAACAAAACACUGAAUCCAAGAGACGGGAAGAGCACAACCAAACUACCUCCUGCACCUUGCCAGUUCCAUCUGUGGCUCCUUUGAGGAACCAGGCCGGAGGCUUUCCUUGUAGGAAUUAUCCUGACAAAUAUUCCGAGUUGGAUUAGAACUUGGCCACAUAAUGCUUGCAGGCAGACAAACUGACAGAAAAGAAAGAAGGAUUAGAGAGGACAGUACUAAAUCCAGGGGGGCUCUAAUAUGAAAACAUAGAGGCAAUCCCUAGAUACGCUUACUGUAGCAAGAGGAUCUUCCCACAACAGCAGGUAGAAGCAGAUUUAAUAUAGUUAUCAUAGCAAAAUUUUCAUUGAUCAUGUCGAGCAGGUGUCACGGCUCAAUGACUUUGCUAGAGCAGGAUAUGGUGCUAACAAGCGCACCCACCUAGCUGCAAUGAAAAUAAAGAUAACCUUUAAGACUGUGUCAGCAAUAAUGAUUCUCUAAUCUCUAAUAAAUACUGCAACAGUAGAUAUCAGCAUCACCAUGAUAUUGUUGCAGCAACCCAGAGUUGAAAAAAAUAAAUGAAUACAGACUUCACUAAUGAUGAUUAAUUCCAAGCUUCUUAUAUAUCCUUCAUAUUGCAUUUCACCAUGUCUGUAAAACCUCCCUUCACCCUUGCCAAGUCCACCACAUUAUUCUUCAUGCCCGUGCCUCGUAGCCAGCUUGUCAAGAAUGGUCAUGCCUAUCAUGGCAGAACAUUGUGCAUGACUCUUACCAUAAGGUUUCAAAUUAGCUUUGUUUUAUUCCAGAACUGACAUUUAACAUUUAAGCAAACACCUCUGAAAAAUCUGUGACCCUUCUUUCCAGCCAAGUUGUACACAGGGAUGAUCAUCAUUCCAAAUCAUGAAUCAUACAGCAACUAGCAAUAGGAAUUGAACCGAAAAUUACAUUUUACCAUUACCACAGAGAGGAUUAUGAAUAAGACCAGGUUGCAUGGCAUCAACAACUGAUGAAUUUCUGAUGCCUUUGAACAGUUGAACACAGUUAUUUGACGCAAUAUAAAGUAUAUACCACCAUCAUUAUUGAACACUCAGAAUCCGGUUCGAUACAACAUUUCCUAAUUAAGGUUGAUAGAAGUAUGUCCUCUAAAAUUUUCAUAUUUUCCAUUAUGAUGUACGAUAUUAGCUAAUCAAUUAUGCUCCAUAAUUAGUUCAAGAAUGUUCUGAAGCAUCAGAACUUAUGCUAACGAAGAAUUAACUUUCAGAUUGUUGUCCUCUGAAUAGAAGGAAGUUUGCAUUUUCUCUGCCAAAUGGAAGCAAGAUUCACCAACAAUCUUCAUUCUCUAGAACAUAUGUGGGCUGGAUAUGGACAUACACUGACAAUAUUUUUAAGGUAAUAAAUUCUUAGUUUACACCCUCAAUUUUUUUUAGGCUUUGUUGAAUCCAAGCUCCCUAUAUAUACCUCCGCGUCGAUUGCUAAUAAAAGUGGAAAAUUCUGAGUGACAAUACUAUUUUCUGAACAGUUGUUUGCAGGCACGCAUAUUUCUAUCCACUUUUUUUGCAUGUCAAUCAUGCUAUCCACAAGAUGACAUUAUCCAGUUUACGGUAGACAGAAGAGGAAUGAGUGCACCACAGGACUAGAAAGAUAUGGGAAUCAAGAGAUCUCAUAAGGUGGUGCAAUCAUGAGAAAAUAGUAGAAAAAUGAUUGGUGGAAUUGAAAGAUUUUAAAAGAAUCAAAACAUAGCACAACAUCAUUAUGUUAUUUGAAAAGUUCUUUUUUCAAAUUCAAAUCCCAAAGGCUGAUGAAAUGAAUCCAUGUUACAACAACAAGGUUAAUUUCUUGGAGCAGAAAUGCAAACCUGUUAGAAGCAUGCAAUUUCACAUCAUAAUGAACAUUGAUGAUAUCAUUAAAAGUUACAUUAAGAAAAUAAGCUUCAUUAUAAAACAAGUACUGACAAGGAAUUACUGAUCGCCAAGACUUUGAGCUUGAACCAUAUAAGCACUGCACUCACCUCCCUUGAUUCUUCAAAAGUGGUGGUGCUUAACUGGCUGACCAUCCAGGAAUGGUGGAAAGAACUCAAGAAGAACACUAGCAUGAUUUGUUUGUUGCACCUUAAAACUAAUAAAAUUACCAAGAAGAUGAUGGUUCCAAUCUCAGCUUGCCACUGAGCUUCAGACUUUCAGCUCAAUCUUAUUACAAAAAUUCCUCAAUCAACCCAGCAAAUAUACUACUCACUCUUUACUGCAUAUACUCUUCUUCUAAUAUAUGUUAUCAACCUAUUUGCACUUUCCAUGGCACUCUCCGUCGAACUCUUCAGCUUACUUAAUUCCUUGGAAUCUUUACAUGUCUUCAAUGUAUCAGACAUCAGCUGGGCCUUCUUCAUUAUAGACUUCCUCAAGUCCACAGUCUCUCCCUGCUCCUUUACCCUAUAAGUUCCUGGAAGCUUAGUAGAAUGGGGGACAGAAUCCAUCAGCCUUGAUAUUUUUCUCUCCAUUUCAAGCAUCCCCGACCUCUUUAGUUCUUUCACAAGAAUCCGAUAUGUUAUGUACUGUGGCACAACCCCCCUCUUAAUCAUGCUCUCAAAUUCAUCACAAGCUUCCUCAUAUUUGCGCAUCCGACAGAGCAUAUGCAUCAGCAUAGUGCUCGUAGCCAAGUCUGAAUCAAAACCAUUCCUGUUCAUCUCUCUGAUCAACGGAACAGCUAAAUCUAACUUCUCCUUCUCGCACAGCAUUUUAAUCAAAAGCUGGUAUGUAAGCCGAUCUGGGGCAUACCCAGAUUGAAUCAUCUUAUUGUAAAGAUUCAUACCCUCCUCAAUCUUUCCGAACUUGGCAAAAAAAUUGAAGAAAUAAUUGUAUGUGGUCUGGGUGGGAAGAACUCCCCUGCCAAUCAUCGUCUUGAGAAUCUUGCUAGCACCAAGAAGAUCGCCAUUCUUGCAGAAACCCUUCACCAGUGAAUUAUAAGUGCAUAUGUUGGGAGAAACACCAUAAAGGGGAAAUUUUUCGAGCAUACCGAGGGCGUCCUUGAACCGACCGGCCUCAGAGAGGGCGUCUACAAUCGGAUUGCAGGUGAGGGCAUUCGGCUCGAUCUCGGCAGCCCUCAUUUCUUCCAGCAAGGCGUUAGCUUGAUCUGGCCGACGCAUCCGACAAAGCCCCUCGAUGAGGGUCCCAUAGGUGACGACGGUGGGGCGGACGCCCUCCCGCCGCAUCUCAUCCCACACCUUCUCGGCCUUCCGGAGCCGCCGCGUCCGGAACCACCCAUGGAGCAGAAUGUUGUAGACCCGGACGGAGGGAGCCCACCCGGGCGGCUCCGCCUCACUCCUCCUCCGGCCAACGAGCUCCGACGCUGCCCCCGUGUGGCCCUCCUUGCAGAGGGCGUCGAUGAGGAGCUCAAAGGCGCCGUCUUGAUUCCCCUCCAUGGCUGCCACCGCUUCCGGGUGGCGGCGGACGUAGUCGAAUGUGCGGAUGGCGGCGGCAGGCAUCCCCGCGCGGGCGUAGCGGCGGAAGAGGGCGGCGAAGGCGGGGAAGGGAGCGGGGGCGGCGUCGAGGAGGAGGAACCAGGCGGAGUCGAAGGCGCGGGAGCGGGCGAGGAGGUCGACGAGAGAGACAAAAUGGGGGCGGGCCCAGCGGGAGAGGGCGAGGAGGGACGUGGGAGGGAGGUCGGAUAGAGGGAGGGACUGGAGCAGGUGAGGGCUGGGUACGACGCUGGAGCGGAGGAGGGACGAGUCAAGGGCGUCGGGGGCGGUGGUGAGGAGGAGUUGGGAGAUGGUGACGGAGUCUUCGGAGGUGGAGCUGGCGUCGGUAAGCGGCGCUGAGGAUGGGUGUGGUGCCUCGCUGGAGUCGGUUAGGACGGGUGGGCCGGGCGGUGGCGGCGAGGGCCACCGCAUGAGGGGGUUUCCAGGGACGGAGCGCCAUGAGUCAGCGGAGGAGUGCAGGAGAAUUGAGGAGAUUCUGGCGAUGGAGGUGAUGAAGGCUCGGUUGGGAAACAUCUCUGCCCCGGUUAAAAUAUCGGUGACAAAUAUGUUCGAAGUCUAACAAUCAUAGUUCCAAACAGAUAAUAUCUAAUAUAACAAGAUUAGCUGGAAUAGUUCCAAUAAGCGGUCACUUUGCCAUGACAGAGUUUUAUAUGUGGAUAAUUCACACGAGUACAAAGCACAGCUCCAAUGAUACAGCGCCUAGAAAAUUUAACAAAAAAAAAAAAAAUUGACAGCAUAAAUAAUCAGUAGCAGUACAUAUGCUCUAAGAGAAGUACGGUAGUGCAAAGAAAAAAAGGGCCCAUGGAUUUUGCUAAUUGCAAAUCAACCAGCUCCAGAAAUUCCCAGGUAUCAUGCUGAUCCAAACUCUGCAAACCACUUCUCAUGGCGCUCGAUAUCAGCAGCAGAAACACUUCUCUGGACCUUGCUCAGAGCUUCUUCAAAGUCGCACAUGGCCACAGGAUCAUUUGAGAUCUCAUCCUUGGACAUGUUCUUGAUCUCAUCCCUCGUCUUGCCUGCAAUUUUCCUCCUCAUGCCGUUCAAUGAAGCAUCCCGACAGACAUUUGUGAGAUCAUCUCCACUAUAACCCUCUGUUCGGCGAGCCACUUCAUCAAUAUCCACAUCUGGAGCUACCUGUUCAUAGCACAAGCAAGAAGAAUUAUAAGAACAAAACAAAAUUUAACCUGAUUUCUAUAAUUUUCAUGUCAAAAUUCUUAAUUAUAUCACAAUAGAAACAUUUGAGAGCUUGAAUGUAUUAUCCUACUGCAAAUCAUACCUCAACAGUUCUUAGAUUAAUCUUGAUAAGCUCCUUUCGACUCUCAAAAUUGGGAAGAGGAAUAUAUAUCCGUUUUUCAAGCCGUCUCCUGUAUCACACGAAUGCAUAAACAGCGAAACAUCAGAACAAAGAAAAGGUUGGGGAUCUAAAAAGAUGGCCAUCAGCUUCUUGUAAACAGAUCUUGCUAAACAAUCAAAUGCUAGACACUGCAGCAGCAAAUUCAUAUUAUUAGGGUUGCUCCGCUUCCAACCUAAGUGCCUCAUCUAUGUCCCAUGGAAAAUUAGUGGCUGCCAAGACCAUCACUAUUUUCCGUUGACCAUCUUCACUAGAGCUGUUGUUGACACCAUCCACUUGCACUAGAAGUUCAGAUUUCACCCUUCUGGAGGAUUCAUGCUCACCUGAAGCUCUGAACAAAAUCACGCAUUGACAAUCAGCAAAUCAUCAACCGUAUGUUGCUAAAUAAUGAAAGCUAACGGAUGAAAUUCAUGAACAAACAUCACCACAUGGUAAAACUUGAGAACCAUCAUCAUAGGGGAGAAAUAUAAACGAAAAAAAGGAAGCAAGGAAGCCAAGGAAUGUGAUCACUAUUCACAUCUUCUAUCAUAAGCCUAAUCAUUAACCAAUUCAAAGAUAGCUAUGUUCACCGAACAAAGACCAGAAUAAAUGUCCUUGCCUCAUACAUCCAGUGAUCUAUGGAAUACUAUACAUUUGUUUGAUAAAAUACAUCCACUUGUCAGCUUAUCUAUCACAAGCUUUUGAAUGAAAAAACUCCAGAUAAACCUAUACAGAUUAAAAGAAUGACCUGGUAAAAAAAAAAAAAAAAUUAUUCAAGCACAAGGUAAUAAAAUGGAUAGGAUAUGAGAUUCCUGGUAUGCAUACCCUCGAGAAGUGCAAAGAGAAUCGAUUUCAUCAAUAAAAACUGUACUAGGAGCAUAAGCUCUUGCAAGUUCAAAAAGGCAGCGAACCAUGCGCUCACUCUCUCCUCGCCAUUUGGAAGCCAGUGUAGCAGAAGAAACAUUGAAAAAUGUUGUACCGCAUUCUGUAGCUACAGCCUUAGCCAAAAGUGUCUUUCCAGUACCUGGUGGACCAAACAUAAGAACUCCUUUCCAUGGCCGACGAAUGCCCUGGAAAACAGAUACAUUAUAGAGAGCCUUAAACACAAUACUCUCUUUAAGACUAUUUCAAUUGCCCGCUAACCAGCAUCCAAGUACGGCUAAUACAAAGAAGCUGAUUAACAGGGAUUAUUGCUUAGCCAGAUUCUUAUCUGAAAGCUUGUUUGGUAUUGUUUAGUAUUGGAUUUCCAUAUGAUGUUCUUAAACUCUGGAGGUAGAAAAGGUCCCUUCAUGGCAACUGACCUUCUAGGCUUUUCAAAUAUUAUCAGAUUAUUUUCUGUUAGAUUAUUCUGUUUGUAACAAAUAAGACUUUUAAGAUAUAAGACCAGCACAAACCUUCAGCCAGACAAAGGAAUGCAGUUAGCCAUUUAAUGUUAAAAGUUGAUUGAGAAGCACCUGAAAAUACUCAGGCAUCCAUAGCGGAAGAACAACAGCUUCCUCUAAAAGUCUUUUGGCUUCAGUGAGCCCCGCAACAUCAUCCCACCUUACACCAGGGCUAGUCUCCAAGACAUCCCUUUCUAGCAUCGCAGCCAGGUCUGCAUCUGGUCCUUCGUACUGCCCCCUUUUUGGCUUUCCUUCCUCUGCAUCACCAGUCUAGAAUGCCACAAGCAGAUCAGUGAUCAUGAAAGCCUAAACAUAUUAUCAAUACUAAAUUCAUGACAGAAACAUCAUUAACAAAAAUCAUAAUGGUGAAAGGGAAAUCUGAAUAAAAAUUAAUAGCAGCUACAAAAAUGAGAUAAUUACUCACAGAUGAAUUGAAUCUGAAGAGUGACAAUGUCACAUAACAAAUAACAGUUUGUACAUCACCUCAAAAGGUUCUAAUAGGAUGAUAUUCUAAGCAAGGGCGGUAGGCUUUAAUCUGUCUUAUUGCUUCUGCCUAAAUCAGUUUUGUAAAUUUCAUCAGCACUAGAUUUUUCCAGGACAUGUUUCAUCUGCUGAACAAGAUUAAUUAAUGGAUGGAAGCAACAAGCUUUUAUAUCUUAUUCUCAUAUGUGCACACUGAUGACCAAUGAAUUUAACAAGGCCUCGUAUGCAGUUCCCCAAUAAAGGUAGAUUUUUAGUUACUUCUAAAUACCUUAUGACAAUUGCUUACAUGAGUCCAGGCUUAAAGUUGAUUAGGAAAUUCAAUGCACUAAAUUGGUUGCAGAAGCCUUCAUUUUUAGUUUUGACAAUGGGCUUCUGAUUUACUGCUUAAACUGGAAUUCCAAAGUCCAAACAAAGUUAUUUAUAAAAAUCCACAUUGGAAAGGAGAAACAAGCUACCAAUGUUACUACUUGUAUUCGUUAGAAAAUGGCAGCUGCCUUAUCAUAUUCAAUUUUUACAUGGAUAAAAGAAAAUGGUAAGCAAAAGCGAAAUCAAUAGGUAAGAGUGCUACAUAUGUGAAGUGAUGAAUUUGCAAAUCAGAAUAGUUGAAAAUGGGCUGUAUUGUCCUUAACCAGCAAAUAAUGACGGCAACACAAAGAAAAGUGGCAUUAACCAAUUAAACUUACAAAAGUUACCUGUGAAUCUGCCUUGCUAGAGCUAGAUUUGCCUUUCUUCCCAGAUGACGUUGAUGAUCUGACACCCGAACUAUUUUUACUUGCACUUGACUUUGCCCCACGUCCGAUUGUUCCAGUCCUAGAAGGACCACGUGCCCAUGUUGCAUCUUGGGAGGAUUUUCUCAUACCUGCUUGCCCAGCUCUCGAGGAUCUUCUGCUCUGUGGAUCUCGGCUAGGUGGUCUCCAAACAUCAGGAUCAUCCAAUGGGGCACCUGACGAAGUCGGGUAUUCAUCUAAUGGUUGGAAAACAAAAGAUUUUGUAGGUAUUGGGGGUGAAGAGGACCGCCUGGACACUGGAAUUUCCUUGAAAGCCUUUAACUCGGUAUCUAACUGCUUGACAAUGUCUAAUUCCUCAGAAAUAGCUUUCUUGCAGUUCAUCCAUUUUGAACGAGUGAUGGCAUCAUCCAGAGUGCUCAGAUGCCUGUAAGCAGAGAGAAUUCUAUUUAAGUGCCAACCAUUGAAAAGUACCACUAAAAUAAUGCUUCUAUUUUUUUAGGCAGUAAUAUUUUAUUCGGAGCAAUGACCAAAGAGGUACAAGAGCAUUCCCCUACUGGACUACUCUGUUGAUACUGACAAUGCACUCAACUGAAAAAAGGCACACUAAAUCAUUAUGGUCGAUCUACAAUCUAUACAAAAACUUUCCCCAGCGACAUGAAGAUCUUGGCCUGCAUCAUCCUCUCAGACAACCUAUUUUCAUAAUACAGCUGUUCGAUUAGCAUGUUGCCCACCAUCAUAGUACAGAACUUGACAAUUCCUGCCAAACUGGUCAAGGAAAGAGACAACUGAGGAGCAAAUGAGAUAUUGUUUCAUCAUCCGCAUGGCAAAUAAUAGAGAUUUAUUAGUUUAAUACUGAUUUUACCAAAAACAUUAGCCCAAAUCCAGAAGUUUAAAAUUGGAAACUUUUAGAUGCCCAACCCACUUUCCAACAGCAUACAAGCCCUCCAAAAGUGAAACGGAAUUAAUGGACAUUCACUAAAAUCAAACCUUUGACAUCUCAUAUGCUCACCUUAAAGUUCUAACACCAACUGUUUUCAUGUCCAACGCAAAGCCAUCAAACACCAGAAAAAAUGGACAAAAUUUUCCAAUUUCAUAAGACAUGCAGAUACAAGGGGAGGAGCCAAGAAGAGGGGGAAAAAACACUAAACACACUCAUUGAGGCAGUAGUGACUUAUAUCAAAUCCCAUCUGGUUAACUAAGCAGCAAGUGUAACAAAUCUCUGAAAAAGUAAAGAAAAAGAGACGAAAGAAAACAGAAAGAGAUGAGACAUAUCUCAACAGUGAACAUGUCAAAAUUGGUGGAAAGUAUCACCUCGUGGUUUAAGACUCUCAAUCUCAAAUAUCUAGAAAUGCACAUAGGACAUAGAAAUCGCAUGAAGCAAUAAAUCUACUUUAAUCGUGUUCUACUGAAAAAGUAGCAGCAACUAGUAUCAACAUUGUUACAAAUGAGGCUCCUCUCCCCUUUUUUGCAUUGCACAUCGAGUCCCAACCCCAAAGAUUUGCUAUUUCGAUUUUCAAACAUAUCAGUUCAAAUGAAUGGUGCCCGAAUGAGGAAAUCAAGCUGGAUAUCAUUCUCCACAAAGUAGUUUUGAACCAGCAACCAACAAUGACACGCGCUAACUACUCCAAGAUGUCUUAUAACCACACCCCUCUGGGUGCCAAAGACAACAGCGAAGACCAUGGAAGAAGUCCUACACAUACUACGGCCCUGACCUUCAUAAAACAAAACAGAAGAAAUUGAUGAUGGAACUUUGUGAUAAAAAAGCUACCUUUACUCGGUUAACUUCCAACCAAUUGAUGAUGGAAUUUGUAAUGAAAAAGGUACCUUUACUCGGUCGACAAAAUUUGGCAAGAAACUAGAUCCAGCCGAUUUGAAACGUAUAUGUAAGAAUAACGAGAGAAAAUUAAUUUUUUUUUGUAAUCUUGAUUGCAAUGAUCCACAGACAGGGAUAGAACAACUGAGGAUUGCGAUCUUAAAUGGAAUACGAGGAGAUGAGUGGGAGCGGGAUCGAAGGAAUUACUUGUUGAUCUGAGCGAUGGCGCCGUCGAAGAAGAUUAUGGAGGUGUCGUAGAGGCCUUCGAGCGCGUACUCUCUGGCUAGCUUCAGGUGAUCUUGGAGGCCCGCUAGGGUUCCGACCAUCGUCGUCGAGAUCUUAGGUUUCGGAGAGGAAGCUAGGGUUUCCAAGAAUCCUAGGUUCUCGCUUGAAGCAAUCCUCGCUCUCUCUCUCUCCCCCUCUCUUCCCUUCCGCAAGGAGACCUUUGUGUGGUUUAAUUUUGCGUGGAAUAUCUCUGUCGCUGUGGCCACGACGGUGACAUUUAAACGUCCGGUGGAAGCGAUAGCUCCAUUACUUUUCGAUUUUCCUUGUUUUUUAGGGGUACCAAAGCCCCCAUUUAAGUUUGAACUUAAAAAUAAUUUUUCAAUUAAUUUUUAUUUUUUAAAAUUAAUUAAUAUAAAUGAUCAAAUUAUCUUUACAAUUAUAAAUUAAUAUUAUAAUAAUAUUAUAAUAUUAAAAAAUAAUAUUAUCUUAUUAUAAAAUAAUACUGUAUUAGUAUAAAAUAAUACUAUCUUAUUAUGAUGUAAGAAUAUUACAAAACAGUAUUUUCUUAUUAUAAUACAGUAUUAUUUUAUUAUAAAAUAGUACUGUCUUAUUGUAAUAUAAUAUUAUUAUAAAAUAAUAUUAUUUUAUUAUAAAAUAGUACUAUUUUAUUAUAAAAUAAUACUUGAUAUUAGAAAAUAGUACUGCGUUAUUAUAAAUCAGUACUAUGUUAUAUAUUAUAAAAUAAUACUACGAUAUUAGAAAAUAGUACUGCUUUAUUAUAAAUCAAUACUGUAUUAUUAUAAAAUAAUAUUAUUUUAUUAUAUAAUCGUACGAGGAUAUAAAGGUAUAACGAUCAUUGCAAUUAGAAAUAGAGAGUUACUUUUAAUUUAUGUUUGGAAUGGGGAGCUAUUUUUAAUUUAAACUCAAAUGAGGAGUUGCUUUUAAUUUGAAACAUAAAAUGAGGAUUUUUGUUUAGUUUACUAUUUUUUAUAAGACCAAUAUUAAAAUUUAAAAUAAUUUUAUUUAAAAAAAAUUAUUUCUAUUUUUUUGUUGAAAUAAAUUUUUUAAAUAUCUCUUAUUAAUUAAUUUAAUUUUUUUUAAAAUAAAUUUUUUUAACAUAAUAUUAUUAAUUCUAGGGUGAUCGACCAUUUCAUCCUUAUUUUUAUUUUAUUCUCAAAUUACAUACUUGUUCUUGGAUUCAAAGAUUUUCUUAUCAUCUUUUCUAUCUUAUAAUUUACUUCCAAAUCCUCCCUCCUUGAAGAAGGGGAAAAGUGGGAUUUAUAAAUGCACCCAAAUUUGCAUGCGUUUGUAUAUUUUCAUUAUCUCUUAAAUAGUUUGGAAAGAGAGAUUUAAAAAAUGUGUAUAUGAGCUGAUAUUGAAAUAGAACAUAUUCAAUAAGCUGUGUGGACUGCAAUUGAUAUAGCAAGCAUUAUUUAAAAAUCUUCUAUUUUAGUAAUUGGGUUGCUAAACUGAACAAAGAGUUACAUACGAAGUUAGGUAUCUGAAUAAAUUUUUUGACGUUGUAUUGCCCUUUUAUCUUUACUCAUCCAAAGUGCUUUGUUCUCUCCUAUUAAAAAAGCUAAAAUAUAUUGUAUUUUAAUGAUAAAAAAAAUCUGUUGCCGCAGUAUGUAAGGAAAUAUUUGUAUAACCUCACAAGUCAAGUUUCUCAAUUUGCCUAAAAUAUAAAAUUAAAAGUUACAUAGAAAUAUUGUAUCUCUUUCCUUUAGAGAAAAGGGUUAAAAAUUUAUGAUCUUCGGAGUUGUAUUUUUCAUACAUUUUCAUGAUUUCAGUUACAAACAUGCCUCUCACUUAUAAAAUUUAAGUUAGUUAUUAUACUUAAAAAUCAUUGUUAUUCUCCAAUGACAUAGUAAACUAUUGUUAGUUAAUAUUAUAAAUUAUUGAUAAUUAUCUUAGAUAAUGUAAUUGUAUCUUCCCUUAUCUCUGCAUUGAAUGUGCUUGCCUGAAACAAAACAAGGAAUAUUAUUAAUACAUAGAUCAUCGAAUGAGGGAGGGUUAUAGGUUUUAGAAGUAAUUAUCUGACCAAAAGGAGGAGUAAGAUUAUAGAAAAGUCUAUUUGAUGAAUAAAAUUAUUUCAAUAUUUUUUAAAUAGAUAUUUAUUUUUUUAUAAUUAUAAAAUAAAUAUGUUUUGGGUAAAUUAUCAGACUAAAUCAGUAAAAAUAUAUCCAUAUAAAUUAAAAAAUAAAAUAUAUAAAAAAAAGUUUAAAAAAAUCUCCAAUAAAACUAUCCAAAAAAUAGUUUCUAUAUAAUUAGCCACUAUAUUGUAAUCCCAAAUAGCUGUACUAUUAGCCUCCUUAUAGAUGCAUUUUAUCUUGUAAAACAAAAGAGGAGUAAUCAUUCUCCAACAAUCUCUUAAUAAGGAAAAGGGAUUGGCAUCAGUAGUAAAUUGAUAGGAGAGCUAACGAAUCACAGUCAAUAAAUUAUCUUCAAGUAUAACACGUGUUAUCUUAUGGUGCAUUGUCACAAAUUUUGUUCUUUUUCAUACAACAUACAACUCAGCUAUACAAGCUAUCGUCUCAAACAAAAGGACUCCUCCAACUGCCGCUAAAAUAAUAUUUAUAUUUUUAAUAUCAAAACUAUUUCAGCCAUAAUCUUUUUUAUCCAAAAUAUUAUCAUCAAAAUUCAUCCAGAAGAAAUGAGGGAUGAUUGCUCUAAAGAAAAAUAAGCAUCCAAUGAGAUGCAAAAAUUGCAGCACUGAAGUCACAGUUUUUUCAGCUAUUAAAAAUUUUUUCCAAACAGCAAACUCCCAAACUAAAAUUGAUACUCGAAGCAAAAUUAACCUUGGACUAUAAAAAACACCUUGAGUAAGUAUUUAUUCAAGAGCCAGCACAUUUGUUGUUCUAAAUUUUGUAUGGAACAAGACAUAUUCUAUAUUCCCAAACCAAAGCAGCCUAACCACAACGUGCGUCCGUCCAGUGAUCCAGCAGCCAGCUGAACAAAGUCCACGUGUCAUCAUAUCAGCCACGGAGAUCUCACGGACCGGAAGCCGCGGUUUAGCUGCACACGCUACAAGCCUCCGUUAUCCGCUGCUGAUGGUCGAUGGACAAGAAGAACCCCCCGCCACUCCCAACGGACCCCAUAAUCGUGCGGUCCAGAGCGCGAUGCUUUAUAUCCCAUACGUCCUCGCGGAUUAACUUAUCUAGCACCUGAACGAUAAAACGGUGGGAAAAUUAAAACGAAACGUUUUAUUUUUUUAUUUUUUUAAAAAAAAACGAGGAAAUGGCCCCCACGAUCUCUUUUGUCUCUCCAGCCCUCCACCCAAAGGCCGAAGCCCUCCCCUUCUCUUCUCUUCCUCCUCCUCCUAGUGGUAGCGGUAGCGGCAGCUAUAGAUCGAGAGGAAAUCUCUUAUUUUCUCCUUCUAAAUCAAAGCAUUCCAUCUCCAUCUCUCGCUUAGCUUCGAAUCCGCCUCCGUCGACACCGGAGAAGCCGCCUGAGAUCGAGCUCGAAUUCGUCGGGGUAACGUCCCAUAUCUUGUUUGUUUUUUCUCUUCAUCCAAAGGCCUCUCGAAUUCCUUCUUUUAUAUUGUUAUGAAUUAGAAGGGUAUAAGUUUUGUUUGGUGCUGGCAGCCGAAAGCGGGAGAGGAUGGGUCAUAUCCGGUGGACAGGGCUUCCGCGAUCAGUGGAGAGAAGCUUCUUCGCAACAUUAUGCUCGACAACAAGAUCGAGCUCUACGCCGCAUACGUAACGCCCAUCAGCCCAACCUUUUCUCUUCCUAGUAACUUUCCUUCUCAAGAUAAUCUUAUUUUAUGAUGGUUUUCAGCCAUGGAUGGCUGGUUUUGAUGUCCUUUUAAUAUAGGCUUUCGAAAUAUGCCCUUGUUCGGUGCCAGCUUUUCAAGCUGGCUGCUCCCCCACGCUGUGUAGCUCACCAGGAAUAAAUUUUAAUCAGCAGGAAGAAGGGAGGAAUUAUUAUUCCUGUUAAACCUGCUUAUUCGUGGAAUAACUAUCCAUAUGGAUGGCUGGAAUAAUUUUAUUCCUUUAUUGCGUUUUUCUUUUUAUAGAGACAAAAAUAGCUUCAUCAGCCAUAGCUAUGCCAGCCAGAAAUGAAAGCCAUAAAAGAAAAAUCUUGUCUAACACGAAAGGAAAAAAAACUCCUGUUUCACUUUUUACCGUGCAUGAAUCCGUUACAGCAUAUCGUUCUAAAGAAUAUGAUUGCCAUAUAAUUCCCAUGCCUCAGAGGACUAUCUCAUUGAAGUUUUAAUGAAGGGCUGCAUAAAAUGAAACAGGGGAAAGUAAUGAACUGUGGAGGAGGUGGAAGCUGUGGAACAUGCAUUGUGGAGGUACAUUUGCUUACUUUGGUCCUUUCAAUAUUCUGUUGCGAAGUUAUCUUAACAUCCUAAUGCCUUACAUGGAACAGAACUCUUGAGCUAAUGUUAUUGUUAUGAAAAUUAGAAUCAAAACUAGAACAGAUAGGCAAGUUGUAGAUUUUGCUUAAAUGUGUGUAAUUCAGAUCUGACCAGGAAUAAGAUAGGAAUAACUAUUCCAUUUGAACCUUCUGUUUUGUAAAACUACUAUUUCAAGGGAAGGUUGGCAUAACUUUAUGUCUGGAAUAAGGCCGUCUUUCUGUCCUAUACUUGUUUCUUCUUGACAAAAAUAUCCUCAGCCUAGAUUUAUUCCUAUCCAAGUAAAAAAUAGGAAUAACUUGCGGAAAAACUACUCCAGAACGGAUAACUAUCCCGUUUCAAUUUUCUUAUCCCUAAACCAAACUCCACCUAAGUUCCAUCCUUAGGACAGAAGACAUCUUUUUCUUGCAGGAGCACAUGAUAGUAACUAUAGCUGAGGUCAUUGUUCAAUGAAAUCUGUAUGAGAAGAGAAACACUAUGGUUGAACACAAAAAUAAGUUUUAAGCCUAUUCCCAUUUGCUUAGAUUGGAGUUGAGAAUUGAUAUCUCCCAAAAGAUAUUUUACAGGGCAAUAUCAUAUGCCCGCCAAAGCGAGAGUUCAAACUAGAUCUUCUUUGGUCCGAUGACUCUGGCCCACCUUCCUUGGACCAUUUGACCUUAAUCUAAGGCCAAGUUUCUACCUUACAGGUCUGCAUUUAGCUUUUGAUUGUCUGAAAGUACUUGUGUAUUUCUGCUUUCCCUGGAAUUGACUGUCAAACAGAAGUUGCAUGACACUUUUUGGAACCUAUUGAUGUCAAUUUCGCAGAUUAUUGAUGGCAUGGAACUUCUGAAUGAGAAAACUGACACCGAAAAACGGUACUUGAAAAAGGCAUGCUACUGCACCAUGCUUGAGUUGUUAACUGCUUUUCCAUUCAAUAUUUGAACCAUCAGAAGUUUCUCAAUAGUUUCUGCUGUGUAGUCAUUUUAACAUACAAUUAUGUUUUUGAUUUUUUUUUCUUUUUCCAAAACAAUUACAGAAACCUGAAUCUUGGAGGCUCGCUUGUCAAACUAUUGUUGGAAAUAAGGAAAAUGCUGGGAAGGUAUCCUGUGGUCACCUAUUAUCUUUCACUUUUUAGUGUUUGGAGUGGAUCUUUGCUAUUAGCUGCAAUUGCUAGUACUCACUAACAGCUUGGCAUUUCUUAGCUCUAUUCAAUCAUAUUCUGUCGUUAGUAGCAGCCUAGCAGGCGGUACACCUUUGGUAGAAAUAAUCUUUAUUUAAUUAAGUGUAGCAUAUAUUAUUUUUUCAGUUAAAAAAAAAAGAACUAAGGAUAACACAAAUAUGGGCAACAGGUCUUAUUUAAUCCAUCUGGACAUUGGAAUUGCACGAGAAAGAAAAGACUAGAUGCCUGUUUUUCAUCUUCUCCUGUUUCAUUAGUGUGAGAAAAGAAAAUAAACAUCUGGUUGUCCUUUUCCAUGAGUUUCGUAGCUAACCUCGAUGGAUGGCAUUUUUCCUUUACUGCAUCUUGCAGUGAAAUCUGUUCAUUUUGUUUGCAACAAAAUAGAUUCGGAAAAGUGAUUCCUAUCUAGUUAUUAAAAAAGGCCCCUUCCUUUUAUCUAUUUGAGUAAGCAGAAUAUACACUCGUUCACCUAGCCUGUUCAGUGCUAUCUCCAUAAUCAGUGACCACCAAAUAUACGGAUUUCUAUCUGUACCCUGCUUUUUUUUGAAAAAAAUGGCAAAUCACCCACUAAAAGAAGGAAAUCCUUUUUCAAAUGUUCCUUACUUGAUUUACAAUGAUCUGGUUGCAAAUUUAGGAUAGGAGAUCGAUGCAUCUGGUUUUCUUAUUAGAAUAUAUCUACCUUAGUUUUUUUCCAAGCUAAAACAUAUGAACAUCCCUAGAGUACUGUCUGCAUUUUGAAAUCACAGAAAUGUUACUUUAUUUUUGAUUCAGGAACCUGACCAUAAAUGGAAAUUCUAUUUUAUGGUUUCAAAGAUUUAGCUGAAAAGUAAUGUCAUUCUGCAAACAGUACAGAUUUUAGCACUAAGAAUUUAAGCAACAAGAAACUUUUCUUUUCUGUUCUUUCCUUUUUCUUAGUGUGUUGCCCAUAAGAAGUUCAAACUAAGGUGCUGAUGGCAUGCAUUGACUCACAAAGGAAUAUGAAACUAGACAUGGAAUAAUUUUACAAGUUUUAGUCAGUCUAUACAAAGAUCUUGUUCUCAAAACAGAACUAUAUAUAUAUAUAUGUGUGUGUGUGUGUGUGUGUGUGUGUAGUGUGCUACGUUUCCUGCUGAUAGUAAAAUAAAAGAACAAGAACAAGAAAAGAAAAGAAANNNNNNNNNNNNNNNNNNNNGAACUAUAUAUAUAUAUAUGUGUGUGUGUGUGUGUGUGUGUGUGUAGUGUGCAGUUUCCUGCUGAUGUAAAUAAAAGAACAGAACAAGAAAGAAAAGAAAACUAACGUGUGUCCUGUCCUGCAAGCCAAUCUAUUUUUGUAAUUGUGAAAUCUGCAAUGCCUUUCACCAUCUCAAAUAUUAACAAGUAAACCCAUCUAUCCUCCCUCUAGGUUAUUGUUCAGCGGAUGCCCCAGUGGAAGAAGUGAUCUGCAAUUCCUUUCAAAUUUUGUAAGAUGAUUACUCCACAACUUUUAAGUUUGUAAUGUCCUCCUGGAGUUUGCAAUAUCAAAUUUUGUGGUGAAAUAUAAAUUGAUAUCCUAUUGAGCAUCACGUCUUGAAUAGAAGAUUGUAUUGAAGAAAAAGAAUUUCAUUGAUAUAAUGAGAAUCGUUCAGCAAACUUGCGGAACAAUAUGAAUGGAUUCUCUACUAACCAAAUUCAAAAUGAUGCAUUUUGUAUUCGGUAGAGGAAGACCAUCGGCACUCUUUACCCCUCAUAGAUAUCUUCAGCUUGAGGUUGGGAUCUCUUCAGCAUUAGAUGGAUGCACUUGGUUCUUGAUCUUGAUCCAACUCCAACCAGGUACAUUGCCCUCAACUCCUCAUCACCCUCUGAAUAGUUCCUCUGUCAUGCUACACCCCAAAACGAGAAAGCAUGUCUGAAAGAACAUAAAUUGAAUGCUCUCUAGGAUCUAAUGCCAUCUAGCGCUUGGCUACAUAGGUUGCCAGUUCCUUAUCACCAUGAAUUCUGCAUGCACUCAAUAGGGUCAUCCAUCCCAUUUUAUCUGGUUUAAAGGGCAUUGACUUGAUUUGCUUCUUUGCUUCAUCAAGCUGCCCAGCUUUAACAGACCCGGUUUUUCUUUAAAUUAAAAAAAGGAUAUCCUGCCGCUUCUCAGGAACCAAUAAGAUCUUUUUUCACGGGGUAGCAUUUACCGAAGAAGGUUGAUUUAAAGCCACAAUCUACCCCAACCUAAAUCGGCAUAGACACAUGAAUAAACAAAGGCUUCAGGCUUGCUGGAAUUCCUUUUCCCCGAUUGUAGACCUCAUUCCCCUCUUCUUUCUAUGUCUCUACUUGAGGAAGAACCUCCGACUCAAGAUCCAUGCCUAGUUUUCUUCCUAGGAUCUCCACCUUCAUAUGUUCUUCCCUUCUUGUCUGUCCCCUAUCCUUUGAUAAUCUGUUGCUUCUGGAGUUUUUUCCAUCUUCACCCUGGAAUUCUUUACCUCGAGAUGAUUUCUUUCUCCUCGCUGCUUCCCCCUCCUAAUAAAGGUGAGAUUGAAGCUCAAUCAGCAAAGACACAAUUUCUAGAGAGCAUUCCUUGGAAUCGAGACUUUUUAUCCAUUUCCAUUAAUAUAGCUUUCUCGUGAGCUCUUUAUUCUCAACCUCACGUGCAUAAUUUUCCAUCCACAAAUGAAUUCCAUAGAAUGGUUCCAUUGAUCAGGCUGCCCAACUAAACCGAUGUCACUACAGCCAAAUUUAUAGCCAUGAAAAAGCUAUGUGAUCUGGUGCAACCUCUCAUUCUUGCAUCUCAUAGAAGAGAUCUAGUGCCAUGUGCCCUUGUCUAUGUUAAGCAUACCCAAAAAUGAUUGAGUUCCAUGUCACAGAGUUAUCCUUGCGUGGCUCAUCGAAGGACCUUCUCGCAUCAUCAAUGACCCUGCACUUGGAACAUGUAUAAAUCAAUGAGCUAGCAAUGUAAUCGUUUGAUCCAAUACAGACUUGAAGACUAAACCAUUUGAUCCGAUGCAGACUUGGAGACUAAACCAAGGAUGUACCGACCCAAUAGAAGGACUGCCAAGUCAGAGCGAGAUCUUAGGCUGAGAAUGCAUAGUGAUCGAUCUUGAAACAUGAUCACAUAUGACCAAAGAACUUGAAUGCUUCCUUGCUUAAACCAUUCUGAGAAAAUCCAAUAAGAAUCGAAUUCCUCAAGACAGUCUCUAAACUCCGCUGAAUCAAAGCAUUUCAUGGCAUCCUCCAUUGAACCAUUCUCGCAGCAUCUAAUGUACAUGGCAAUCAACAUGAGAAACAGGAAUCUUACUUUCCAACCCCCUCUUGAUCACUGGGCCAUGCAAGACUCUCCCUUGUUGACCAUGCUCGAAACGAGCAUCUAUCACACUCCAGCUUCUUGCACGCUAACAAACAGCUCGGUCGCAUGAUUCAUGAAGCCAUACCUAGCAGUCUGCAAACAGAGAAUUCCAUGUCGCCAAGAUUUGAUCUCCUCCGGCGGUCGGUAUUGCUUCAUCUCCGCCGGUGGGGGGUUUCUCUCUUUUUUUUUUAAUUCAAAUUUAAAAUUUAAAUUUCGGUGUUGACGAUGAGUUUUUUUAAAAAAAUCUUUUCUAUUCUCUAUUUUCUUAUAAUAAAUUUGGGUUGGUUUUUUCACUUCCUUUACAUCAAAAAAAGAAAAAAAGACUUUAAAUAAUCCCUCCAUCCUAUCAAAAUGCUUUCUUGAAACUGCUAUCAGACCCACAUUGCAAAAUACCGUGAUUGCUGCACUCUACACAACUGCAUCUCUUUCUCAACCAUACAUAAUCUUAACAUGCAAGUGAAGCAUCAACUGAUAAUGAGGAGCUAUGUCGAGUAAUGUUAGUAGGCUGGCAAAGGGUGGCCUCGCUGGACAUUAGACCCUCUCUUUCCAUCCAGUCGGAAAAAAGGGCAUACUCUGCCUCAUCUGCUUCGGGGUACCCUGCAGUCAAGGCAUUUCAUGACACCGUGUUUGGCUCUGGCAUAACCUCGAAAACUAAAUAAGCUUCUCCUAUCCUUCCACAUUUCGCAUACAUAACAAUGAAUGCGCCCCCCAAGUACAAAUUGCAGUCAAGGUCUAACUUUACGAUGAGGGAGACCAAUUGGUGGCCCAAUUAGAAUUUGCCAGUGGAGGCAAUUGACUGAGGAUGAUCCCAAGGGUGUACUGAUUGAAGGCGAGGCCCUUCACCGUUUGUGUUUAGAUCCUUGACUGUACGCGCCUGAUGAGACGUUGGCGGCGAUCAGGGCGUUCCAGGAGACUAUGUCUCGCUUCGGAAUUUCGUCGAACAGCUUGCGAACUCUUGAGGGGCCGUUGCGAUUUUGGAAAGCGGGCGCAGGUUGUCGCUGCGGAGCCCAAAGCUAGUCCGGUCCAAGUUAUUGUAGACCCAGGGAAGGUCGCGGUCUAUAAAUCCAUGAUAACCGGAUCGAUGCCCUUUGCUAAGGUCACUAGAGUCGUGCGUUGCCAUUGAGGAGGAAUCCAUGUGAUUUGUUUAUAAGAUGGAAUAUAUUAAGAUUGCCAUGAUCUUAUUAAUCAAGACAAUUUGAUAAAUACAUUUAAUUUCUAAGUAAUCGCGUACACUUGCCUUCUUUUCUUUUUUAAUCAUUCUAAAAUAGAUAUUUUAAAAAGGUAUUUUUUGGUACCUGGAUAAAAGGAAGUCUUGUCGAAAUUAGGCUAUAGGUGACAACAAAUCUAGACUGUUGGCAUCUAACACCCACUAAUUCAACCGUUUGAAUCUCUUGGUUGACAACAACAUUUCUGCUAUGUGUUUAGUUAUCUAUUAUUUCUCAAAACAUAAGUAAGAUGCAAAAGUUUGGAAUUUAUACAAAGACUUUUUAUGAGACAUUUAUCUUUUUUAGGAGUUUUAUAUGCAGUAAUUUUUUUUCUUUUUUUACUAAUUUAGGGUUUGAACUAGUACUGACGCUCAAAUGUUGGGUUGAAUACAAACUUAGCAUGAGAAAUUUUCAUGUAAAUCCAAAUUCUACAUCCAUAGACAUGCAAUUCAUUCUAGCACCAAAAUAAGUCAAAAUUAAAAUGAGAGACUUUUAUGGAAUAAUAUAUAUCUCCAAAAAGGGUUCAUAACGCAACAUUUUCUUUCAAGCAUGAACUCGUCCCGACAAGCAAAGCGCCGGACCCAGUUCAAAUUUGUAUAAGGGGAUAAUUUCAUUCAAUCCCCUUUUUGCAACUAUUAUUUCAAAGCUUUAGUGACAGAUGAAAAGGGUUUUGCGGUGGUACUUCUUUAUAUUAUUUUUUAAAAAAAUUAUGUAUAUAUUUUUUUAAAUAUUAAUAUAUAUAUAUAUUCUUUCAAAAUUUAUAUUUACAUGUAUACUAUUAUAAAAUAUUUAUUUUACAUACAUAUUUUUUUUUCUUGCAUACAUACCCACACUAUUUAAUGUCAUUAAGAAAUUAACAACUUAAAGUUUAAAUGAUUGAAAUACUUUUAAUACAUAAAUAUAUAAAAAAAAUAUUUAUAAGGAUAUACUUGUAAAUAAUUGCUUUGCGAGGAUAUUCAUAUGACUUUACAUAUGCAGGAGGGUUCGUAUAAAAAAUUCUAAUUUUAUUUUUUUAUUUUAACUUAUUUUAAUACUCAGAUUAGUCCAAUACUUGCUCCUCAAUGUUUUCUAUAAAAAUAUUGCUAAAAAAAAAAAGAUAAAUUUGAUGAUUAGAUAAUAAAAAAUAUUAAAAAUUUUUUACUAAUCAAGAGACUAUUCCAUUUUAUUCUUCUUUCAUUCAUGAUGACAAUUAUAUCUUAUUUUAUUAAAAAUCAGCUUGUAAUAUUUUUUGUCAUAGAUGCAUAUAUAAAGACAUGUAUUAGAAUAUAGAAGGGAUUAGAAUCUUUUAAAGAUAUAUGAUAUAUUCCAAUGAUCAAGCUUUGUUGCUAUUAUUGUGCUUAUGUAUAGAAGAACAACAUCAAUCAUUCAAGAGCAAAACCAUUUAGGACUUUAGAAACCUUAUAACUUCUGUAGCCAUAUGGUAAAAGGCCAUACCUUACAUUAGAUAUCUUAAGCUAUUAUUUUUAGAGUUCUGAUCUUCCCGAAGAAGGAAAGAUCUAAUACAUGGGAACCAUCAUUUCACAUUGAUUUUAAAUUAAUCGUUUGUCCGCACAUGAGAAGUUUUCUAACUCAAAAAAAUAAAUAUUGCAAAUCUCACACACAAAAAGGUAAACGUUGUCAAUCUCUCACAACAUUUUUUUUAAAAUAAUAUCUAAAGAUAAGAUCUGACUUUCUUCAUGUAAAAAGAGAAACAAUGAAGGGAGAACUUAGGCGGCGGACUUAGAUUUCGAUGGCGAAUGGAAGAAAGGGAGAAGGGAGAGUGAUCACAUGGGAACAGGGAAAGUUCAAUAGAUUAAAUAAGUUUCCAGCAAAAUUUACUUAUUUUAAGGGUAAAAAGAUAAUUUUAUAAUUUAAAUUAUUUUAAUUUAAAUAAAUAUGAUUUUAGCUAAUGAUAUUAAUUGAAUUAUUAUGUUGGAUGUAUUCAUAUAAAAAUAAUAUUUUGUAAAAGCAUGCAUACAAAUAUCAAUUUAGAAGGAUAUUUAUAUAAAUUUCAGUAGUAUUUUGUAAAAGCAUGCAUGCAAAACCCAUUCGGUACUCUAAGGGUAUUUUAGUUUUUUUAUUUUUUUAUAUAUUUUUGAUCAUCAGAUUAAAUAUGGAUCAUACAAAUUUUAAGCGGAUGAAGGGCCAUAUGCAUAGCUGGUGCAGUAAAUAUUUCAAAAGUUAGGGUUGUUUUGAUAUCGUAAAAGUUGAUUUUUUUCUUGAUUGCCAUCUUAGAAGGCAGGAGAAAAUAUUCGUUGCAAUAGUGAUACCACGUCCCGUUGUAAGUUGUAACAAACCAAUAAAAAGUUGGAAAUGGGUGAAAUAUGAGGAUAGUGUGGGAUAUUAUCCAUGAAAAUCAAUGCAACACAUGACAAUCCAUCAAAUAUAAAUGUUUUCAUUGGUUAGUUACAAAUUUGACAUGGUAUCACCAUUGCAAUAAAUAUUUUUUUAAAAGGCGGAGAGCUGGGAGAGGUGGUGGUGGAGGUGGAGGAUCUCUGGCGGAGGUGCACCGGAGGCACUGUGGGCGAAGGUAGAAAAGCUGAUAAAAGGAGAAAGAAGAAUCCUAUGAAGAAAAAUGAUAGGAAAGCCAUUCAGAAUCUGUCAAACCGUACCAUUUCAAUUGAAGGAGAAGGAGAAAAGGAAAAGGAAAAAAGGAAAAGAGAAACAAAUCACUUAGCUCCGAGGACUGGUGGGCGGAGGACCCAUCGAGGGUUGCGAGGGCAUCGUGGGUGAGGGAGGGGGGCACAGUAGCGAAGCCACGUGGGCAAGGGAGCACCGAUCAGGUGGAGGACCUGCCAGGGGGUGGUGGGGGUGCCAUUGGGGGAGGGGGGGCACGGUGGCGGAGCCGUGCUGGUGGAGCACUGGUCAGACGGGAGAAGGGUUGGCGGCACGAGCAGGAAGGCACGGUCCACAUAAGUAUGCAGGGGUGUGCAGGGUGGUGGGGCACAUGCGUCGGUGGGCGGGUGGGAUGGGAGAAAAGGGAGGGAAGAUCGCACGGGGGAUGGGGGGCUCGUAGGGGGAUGGGGUGGCUGCGGUGGAGAAGAAGAAGAAAGUCGUGGGAGGGAGGUGUCAGUGGCUCAGGCGUCAAUGGGGGGGGGUUGCUGCGGCACGAACAGGGAAGCGGCGUCGGUCGCAAGAAGAGGGGCAGCACGGGCAGGAGGGGUGGGGCACGAGCAUGGGGGGAAGAUCGUCGAAAAGGGGUAAGGAGAGGGGGAAGUGGCACAGGGAUGAAGCAGGUGGAAAAAAAAUAAAUAUUUAAAAUAUUUUUUAUAAUAAAAUAUUAUAAAAAAAUAUCGUUGCAAAAUUUAAAUCUGUAUAUAUAAAUGUUAAUUUAAAAAAAAAUAUUUAUGUAAAUUCAGAUAUGUAUGUUUCUUUUUUUUAAGGUUAAUUGCACAGAAAGGGGGCAAACCGGUAAUUGGACGGAGCUGGAUCCUGGACAGCAUCACUCGCAUGCUGCAGCCAAUAACGCGCCUCUGCACGGAUAGAGGAGCUCUUGCGGGUUCCGUUGCUUCGGGUCUCUGCUCACCGCCAGUGUCGGGAUGAGGGUUCUGAGCGCGCUAUCCCACCCUUCGCCACGGCCGACGGCCGCCCUCUCUCCUUCCCAUGGAUUCCGUUCCUCCUCCCAUUCUUCUUCUUCUUCGUCGUCGUCGUCGUCGUAUCCCCGUCAUCUUAUCUCAUCUCUCCACAAGAACUCGGCUUUCUGCCUUCGAGGCCUCGAUCCUAAACCAGGUCAGAAACGAACCCCUCUUCCAAUACAAGAAGAGAUUUGCUCAAAAGAGAUUUUUCCCCCUUCCUUCCCCAAGAAACUGCUAUGAAUCUUUUAGUGAGAAUUAUUAUUUAGGCUUUUAGUUUUAUCUUUCUUCGUUUUUAUAAAAUCGGGUGUUUUUAUCUUUUGUUAUGUUGCCUUAUCGCCGAUGCUUGCAUAUGAAUUUCUGCAGAUCUAACGAUCAAUAGGGCUUCUAUCUUAUUGUUAAUCCUGCUUCUUUUCUUUUCUUUUUUCCCUUCUGGUCAUUUCAUCUUUUUAUUUUGAGAAGAUCUUUUUUCUUUGUUGUUUUUGGGAAGGUUUCGUGGAUCGAAAUUGCAAUAUUUAUAAAUGAUAGGCUUAAAUUGAUGCUCAGAAAAUGCUUUCGGAUAUAUAUUUGUGGAGAUCUAAGCUUUCUAUAAUUUGUUAAUUAGCUUUGUGUGCUUUUGGUCACAAUGGUUGUGUCAAUAGAUUGCUAGACGGUUAUUCUGCUUCGUUUGGUUCGGUACAAAUUCGAUUAUAGUGCCAAUGAAUCGAAACUUUAUUUAGAAUUCUGAGCUAAAACAUUUUCCUUUUUCUGUGUGGUAGUUUUUCUCUCUACCACCUACAGGUACUGCGUCAGCAUUGCAAGCAAUAGCCAAGGACCUGCCAAAUUAUAUUCAGCAUUUCCUACAUCUCCUGCCCUUGUUUCCUCUGUUAAUGAUCUCUUUGAGUUCAUAUGCUCGGGUCCUCUGAUAAAAAAAUUGGGCUUUACUGCUGAGACUGUAGCUGAGUCCAUCGACAGGUGGUUACAGUGUGGUUUUCACUUGUGUCAACUGUUCCGGUUGAACGACCUUAAUUUGUCAGUUCCUGAGAAGGCCAGAAUAUAUCAUUUCUACAUUCCAGUGUUCCUCUGGUGCGAAGACCAGCUUUUGCGUCAUAGGUCCAACUUUAAUGAUGGAGAUGAGAUCCCACCUCUAGUGGUACGUGUAUUAUUAUAGCCUGGUAGUAGCUUCUAUCGUCCCUACUCAUUUAGUAAAUCUAUGUUUAAUGAGUUUUCUUCAACUUCAUUUCCUUGUUUGAGAUUCGAUCCUUGAGCGGGACACAAUACUUUUGUGAACAAGAUAUUGAUUUUGUGAUAUCUAAUAUAACUUUACGGGGAGUUUUUUGAGUAGUUGUAUUAAUGAAUAUAAAGGAAAAGGAAGAAUUUACGACCUUUUGCUCAAAGUUUGAGACUGGGUUACGAAAUAAUAUUGACUUUCUAUGCUUUGCAGAUUGGUGUUAGUGCUCCUCAAGGCAGUGGAAAAACAACUCUAGUUUUUGCUCUUGAGUCUCUUUUCCGGCGAUCUGAUAGGUAUGGUUGCUAGAUUUUUGAUAAUGAAGUUUCAGAAAUUUAAUCUACUUGCUGAUGAUACUUUCUGUAUAUGACAACACUAGUGUUCUUUAUUGAUUCACAAAUAUGAUGGUCUGUUUUUGUUAAAUAUCUCCCAGGAGUGCUGCAACCUUAUCAAUAGAUGAUUUUUAUUUGACAGCGGAGGACCAGGUAGAGAUAUAGAGAUUUAGCACAGUGGUUGCCCUCUUGUUUAUUUUUCUUCAUGUUCUGAUGAAUGGAUAUUUUAUUUCAGGCUGAACUGAGGAGACAAAAUCCUGGAAAUGCUCUCUUGGAGGUGCUGAAAAUAUUCACUGAGUGUAUACUACAGUAAUUGAACAAUCUAUGAUUCAGCUGUGAUGUCAUAAAUCUCCCAAAUUUGGAAGCUCUUCGUUUAUGGAAGUUUGAUUGCAAUGAACAUUUUGUGAAUAUCGUCUGUUCACACAUUUCAGUUUCGUGGGAAUGCGGGAAGCCAUGACCUGCAAUUCUCAAUUGAUACACUCACAUCUUUAAGCAAGCUUACAAAAAAAGGUAUGAUCUUUCAUUGAAUCGCCAACUGUUUCUCUGUAUGUCUAAUUUGUGUUUUCAGUCGACCAACAUCAGCAAUUUGGAUGUUAUGCUUUAUUAUAAAGUGGAAGAAUGGAAUAUUUUUUCUUUAUAUAUAAUUGAAAGAUUUUUCAAGUGGAAUGGAAAUGAUGAUCCAUAAUAUGUCAAAACCAUUUAGGUAUGAAGAUGAAGCUUCCACGGUACGAUAAGGUGUGCUCAAAACAUAAGCCUUCAUAUAUUUCACUUGCAGAAUGUUGGGUUUUCAUGCUAGACUUCAUCUAUGUAUUUAGUCUGCUAAUGGAGGGAGAGGUGAUAGAGCUGACCCUUCAACAUGGCCAGAAGUUGAAGGGCCCAUAGAGGUAAAGCAACUUUCAAUUGUAGAUUAAUCGUAUCAAGUCAGUAACCUUGACACCACCCAAAAAAGAAAAAGAAAGGAAAAAAAUUAUCAUUGUUAAGGAGUUUCCACCAAGUUAUUCUCAUUGGUAUUUUUUGUGCUCUGGUCAUUUAGGUUGUUUUGUUUGAAGGUUGGAUGCUUGGGUUCAAACCUCUUCCAAAUGAAGAUGUGAAAGCAGUUGAUCCACAGGCAAGUUCUUAUCCAAAAAUAAACAAAUAAAUAAAUAAAAAUUGCCCGGUUAAUUUUAAAUAAUUUUUAACUGUGAUAACAUCCUUAUUCUCCAGCUUGAAGUGGUAAAUAAAAAUCUCGAAGCCUACUUUGAUGCAUGGGACAAGUUUGUUGAGGCAUGGAUUAUUAUCAAGAUUAAGGAUCCCAAAUGUGUAUACCAAUGGCGCUUGCAGGUUAACAUCAUAAUGUGAUGAUAUAGAAGCAGUUUAUAUCAUUAUAUAAAUAGCAUAUAUGCCCUUUGUAACUCGAACAUUCAAUUGUAGCAAUUCUGAUCAGCAUAAUAUGUAUCUUUCUUGUGGAAUUUCAGGCAGAGGUGGCCAUGAGGGAAGAUGGAAAACCUGGCAUGUCUGAUGAAGAGGUGUUGCAGUCAUUCAUCUCUAUCAUCCACCACGUUUCUUUAUAACCUCAUAAUAUAUUCCAUAGCCCAAACAUAAUGUUGCUUAAGAAUUUUGGUUAAAAUUUAGUUUUAAUUGAUUGAGAUAUUACUUAUCUGUGAAUUGGCUGUGAUGCCAUCCUUGAGUCUAUUAUAUGAAUUAUACAGCAUGUAUACGUUAUAUGCUGAGUAGUUGCUAAUAUAAUUAUGCCACACGUAGCUGAAAGCGUUGCCAUUAAUUCAAAAUAUGUCUGUCCGCUCCUCCAGAAGGACGGUUGUUUUCAAACUGUGUUUUUUGAGUGUUUUCCAAGGAAUGUGCUUCCAUUUUUAGAUGAACUUGAUUGUAGUCCUUGUCCUCAUUGGGUUUGCGUCUUCUAAACAAGCUAUGACAUGCACACCACCUGUUCCUUGUGUCAGUUUUCAUUGUAUAAAAUUCUGUCAUAUUUAUGAAAGCGAAAUUCCUGCAGGUUUUGGAUUUUGUAUCACGGUAUCUGCCAGCAUACCAGGCCUACCUUCCACCACUCUACUCUGAAGGACCAAAGGAGCUGGAUCCAGAUCGCCUUUUAGUUAUCGAGAUUGACGAAGAGAGGAAUCUUAUCGCCAAGUGAUCUAUGUUGGAGGACUGUAUGACUUCAGUUUCGUCUUUCAGUGGGUGUAAAGAAUAAAUUCUUGUUUUGAUAUUUUUGUACAUGUUCAUCAAAAAAAGGAAUGUGUCAUAAUUAUUCAUUCCGUAUCAUCUUCGAUCAUUUACUUCUGAUUUUUUUUACUUAUGUUUAUACUAUAAAUUAUUUCCUAUUGCAAGUGAAGCGAAUUUAGGAGAUUGCUAUAUUGUUAUGAUAGUUGAGAUGUACAGUGUGUGAAAAAGAAGUAUUUAAGGAAGAAUAGCUUUCAACGUUACAGGUUCCUCUGUUCAAUUUUUCAAUAUUUUAAUUUUCAGGGAUCUCUCUCUCUGUGUAUAUAUAUAGAGGCAUCAGCCUCCAUUCAUUGUUUCAUUGUAUAUUCAUUUUCUUCGUUUGACACGUGUACAGGGGUUUUAUGGAGGAGUUUCGAUUUUCGAUAGAGUUUGAGGAGGCAUCUGCUCUUUGAUAAAGCGUGAGGUAUCUUCUCUCUCUCUUCUUUUUUUUUCUUUUUUUUUUUUCCGACCCUUUUGCUUCUCAUUUUUUUUUGUUAUCUUUCUCAUCCCCUCUCUCCCUGGUCAAGAUCGAUAUGAUCAGAGUUUGGAUGAUCGCCUUCUCUCCGCCCGCAAAGAUCGAAAGCAUGUUUGCUUCAGCCCCAUGGUCGUCGCUUGAGAUAGGGGCAUCGAUGGCGGUGUAGUCAGUAAAAGUUGCUGCAGGGGUGAUUUUGUUGACAAGGAUGGAGUUCGGAGAGAGGCUCGAGAGGACGUCGAUGGCAGGAUCGAGGGUGAUAUGGUGAACAUCGGCAAUGUAGUCGAUGAUGAGAGAGAUGACGUUGCUGGCACGAGCGACGGUGAGGAGGGAUUUGGCAUGGUGGGUACCAUGAUCGAUAAGAGGCUGGGCCUUGGAAGCGGUUUGGUAGAAAACGAUGAGGGAGUAGCUGGUCAAGAGUAGGUGGGCAGUUAUGAACUAGCCCGUGACAUCGAUUCGGGUGGUGGUCGAGGUUAUGGGUCGGUUUGAGGAGAUGGUCAACAUAGGAGAGAGCAAGGGGACGAUCAGGCGGUGGUGAAGGAGAUAAAGGUGGUCAGAUCGAUGCAGGAGGGAUGGGAGGCGAAUGAGCAUUGAAAAAGUUAUCAAUCAUUGGAUCGAAGUCCCUUGGUCGUGCUGUCGUGGUUUGCUCUUCUGGCCAUAGUGCCACUAGCCAAGGGACAUUCCCCUACUUUGAAAUAAGAGUGAUGGAUCUUCUGUUCUAUGAAAGAAGAGAGGAAGAAAAAGAAAGAAAGAAAAAAUAAAAAAAAAAAAAAAAAGAAAGAAAAAAGAAAAGAAGGAUUUCAGGAGAUUCUUGAUUAUAAGGUAAUAAUGAAGAUUUUUUAUUAUUGUUAAGAAAAAGGGAGAAUAAAAAGAAAGAAAAAAAGAAAUUUUUUUUUAAAAGUUUAGAUUUUNNNNNNNNNNNNNNNNNNNNAAAGUUUAGAUUUUUAAAUUUUUAAUAUCGAAAAAAGAGAAAAAUUUCUUCUCGAUUUCUAAAGUUUAAAUCUUUCACGAGCUAUCAGUUGGAGGCAUAGUUAUCAAUUGAUUUUUGAUCGAUAUCUCAGAAGACUGUCAUCUGUCAAUAUAUUGGUAUAUUUUUGCUCUGUUUCAAGUUUGAAGAUGCUGCUACUAUCUAUGGCCGAUGGGCAAUAUUGUCGGUUUUACUAUUUGGAGAGUUGAGAGGUGUGUAAGGAGAUGAUCAAAAAAAAAGAAAAGAGAGAUAGAAAUGUUUAAAAAUAAUUAAAUAUAAAAAUAGUAAAAAAUGAUGGGUUUGUGAAGGGGAUUCACAAGAUCAAGGUCAUCUAUCGUCACAAGAUUUAUCUAAUAAUUUAUAAUCUAUAUUAUGCAUAAAAUAUAAUAUUUAUUAUUUUAAUUAUUUUUAAAUAUAUAUAAAAUAAUAUAAUAGAUAAAUAAAAUAAAAUAUAUUUUUUUAAAAUUAUAUUCCAUACAUUGUAAAGGGUUAUAACUAGUUUAUAUUUAGUUUGAUUUAAUACAUCCAUUUUACCAAAAAAAUUAAAGAUAAUAAUAAUAAAAAGGAGAGAAUAAAUUUGCCCCUGGAAGCAAACAAGGAAAUCCUCCGGUAGGGAUGAAAAUAGUAUGGAUAUUAUCUGUCUGGAUCUAUUUUCGUAUCUGAAUUAAUCUGAAUAUGGACAGAAAUUUAAGGAUCUGAUUAAUAUCCAUAUCUGUAUUUGUCAAACAAAAAUAGAUAUGAAUAUGGAUAGGCAACUAUUCGAAUAUCCGAAUCUAUAUAUAAUCUUAUAUAAUUUUAUAUAGUAUUUAUUAAUUUUUUUUAAAAAAAUAUGAUCAUAUAAAUAUAUUAUUAACUUAAUUUAUCAUUUUUUAAUAAUAUUUUUUAUUUUAUAGUCAUAAAAUUUAAUUAUCUAAAUUAUAUUCAUCAUUAUAUCCGGACUUUCAAUAUCCAAAUUAUAUUCGUAUCCAUUUAAAAUAAAUAUGAAUAUAUAUUUUUACAUCUGAAAAAUAUUUAUAUUUAUUAGAUAAAAUAAAUAUAGAUAUAUAUUUCAUUCAAUUUUUAUUUUAAUAAAUUAUAAAAAAUAUGAAUAUAGAUAUAGAUACGAAUUAUAAAUAAAUCGGAAGAAAUAGCAAGCGUAAUCAUUUGAACUUACACACCGAGGUUGUUUUCUGGUUUUUGUGGGAGGGCAAGACGGAAAUUUUUCCUCCCCGGAACUGGAUCGUCCCGUUCGUUCAUCCUGGACGCGCGACAACAAAUGCUGGAUCCCCUUUCGAUACGUAUCGCGUCGCUUUUCCGCGAUGUUGGCGUCCGCAUAGAAUCAGCUCGGCGGCAUAUCCUUUCUCAGUUCCCGCAUAAAAAGAAAUGGUUAAGCGGAACUGCCCCAGCUGGCGAGUUCUCCCAGCAUGCCCCAUCCGCGGCCAAGAGAGAUUAAAAUCCCCAUCCACCAUCAGAGAGUCCAAAAUACCCGAACCGAUCCCAAACCUUUAUCUUUAUAGGCUCGAGAGUGGAGAGAGGAAAGAUGAUGGAGGGUUUCUUGAUUAGAUCGGUGGUCUCCGUGGCGCUCUCCUUUUUGAUUGCGGCCAGAGCCUACAAGCACAGGUCGCUCGAUGGAUCGGGGGCGCUCGCGGGGUUCUUGGUGAUGGCUAUCCACAUCGCUGCUAGCUACAGGUCCGAUCGGUUCCUUUCCCUUUUCUGGAUUCUUUCACCAUUAUAUUAUCUGUGAAUCGGGUCGAAUCGAAUGGGAACUCUGUUCUGAUACUUCCGACUUCAACGCAGGUUCGGAGCGCUGCUUCUUGUUUUCUUCUUCACAUCUUCCAAGCUCACCAAGGUUGGGGAAGAGAAGAAGAGGAGCAUUGAUGAGGAUUUCAAGGAAGGAGGUCAACGAAACUGGUGAGGUUUUGCCGUUCAAAUUUCAGCUCUGUUGCGGCCUUUCUCUGGGACCCUCCGACGCACAAGUCAUUGAAGUGGCUUGAAGAAAAAGAGCGGCAGAGUCUUUGAGUUGCAAAACAGUGUGCGUAUCUGGAGGGAUCUCCACUCAUCUCUAUUUAUAGAGGGAGCAAAAUAAAUGGUGAGAGGACAGAUGAUCAUAUCGAUCAUGUCUUAUCGUACGGUGCUAUAUGAUGCCUCAUGGGCAUCUUUAAAUGUUGACGGCGAGCGUGCCUUCUAUUCGGCAUGGAUAAAACGGCGGACACCACCGUGCGUGGGAUAUAAUAAAUGAUCCUGUGGAUGUAUUUAAUGAAUUUAUAGCAUCCCAUCACGGCGCGCAACUAGCCUGUCAGAGUAUGGCAUCUGAGUGACACGAUCCUGAUGUGGCCUGUCAGGAUGGUGUAGUGGCUAUGAUCGGUGCUCAACUAGUCGGUAGAGGCCUGCGUUGUCGGAGUCGAAAAGAUGAAGCUGUCGAGAGAUGGUAUCCUGCCGUUGACGGGCAUAGUCGGCCGUACGUCAAGUAUGAAGUCAGUUACAGGCCGAGCAUUAUUGUGUAUAAGUGGCCAUGGAUAGCAUGUUAAACCUAGUCGGUUUUGUGCCGAGUAGGAGUAUGCUGCUCUUAGUUGGUCGGAUGUCCAUGAUAGUGCCCGACAUCGAUCCUGUCGGGCGGAAUUCGUCAAUCCGAGUCGGGUUAAGUGGCAAUAGCUUAAUCGGUGUAGCUUUUUUAGUCUUUUCGGAGACGAGAAGGCUUGGUAGUCGGCUAAGCGGUGGUAUCUAUCCUAACACCUACCCCCUAACUCCCAAGUCCGAUUGCGUGGUUAGUCGGACGAAGGAGUUCGUCUUUGAGCAUAUCCGAGUUGCUUUUGCCGACUGCCACUCGGUUGUCUCAUCACUUCGUCUUGUCUUUUCGUAGAACGUACGGCGGCGCCGUCCUAUCGCAGGUCGUGCGGCAGUUAAUGCCGUGGUGCUCGAGACAAUUCUUCGUAUUGAUGGCAGAAGAUCGACUGACAGGGUGAUAAUGAACAUGCAUACUAGAGUCGUUCGCAUGUCGAGCGUUGAUUGGCCCGGCUUAUUAUCAUGCAGAUUCAGCUUACUCGACGAGAUUUGAGCGGUGGUGCGUCGAACGGGCGUCGAGAUCAUCGGGUGAGAUUGCCACCACGUGUCAAGAUCUUCGAGUAGGACAUGGUACUUGGUGUCGAUCCCGACCGUCGAAGGAAUCUAUAAAUAGGAGCUUCCCCUCUUAGUCUUGCUUCCGAUUUCAAAGUGUUCGUUCUGUCUUAAAUCUUUCCUGCCCCCUUCUUAGCAGAGAGCUUAGGUUCUACCGUCGGUGAUUCGUCUUUUUCGACGUCGGUCUUUCAUCGCCAUCUUCAUUGCCAUCAGUCUUUUCCUCUAGAAGUUUUCUUCUCGAUCUUUUUCUUCUCUUUUUUGAUCUUUCGUUUAAGUCCCUUCUUCUCCUUAUGGCCUCUGUUGGUAGAUAGUUCGGAGAUGAGAACACGAUCGGAGACCGUAAUUCUCGGACUCCGACUGCCCUGAGGGAGAUCGAGGAAGUUCCUCGAGGUGAGCCCGAAGAGGCGAUUUCUCGAUAGGGUCAUUUAGACUUCAAGGAGUUAGGCGAGCGGCCUGCUGCCAAGAACCCCUUUAGAUCUCUCGUUGAGAGGUCCGAGUUGUCGGAGGCAGCUAUCGACCGACUAAGGGGACAUUACCAUAUCCCUAGUCGUUAUCGGGUGAUGGCGUCUGGUGAAGAAGGUUGGGUUGUUCGUCCUCCUGAUGGCUAUAUUGCCAUCUACGAGUUCUUUCGAUUGGAACUUCGAUUUUUCCUGCAUCCCCUGUUUGUCAAUAUUCUCGACCUGUAUGAGGUCGUCCCUGCACAGCUUGCCCCCAAUUUUUUUAGGAUCUUAGCUUGUUUUGCUGUUCUUUGUCACCUUCUUCGGGUUGAGCCCUAAGUUUUCUUGUUUCGGAUCAUUUUUGUACGGAAGAAACAUCCUCGAAAACGGAGAUGGUGGUUUUUCUGUCCUCGGCCCCAUCAACAGUUGUUCAAGAAGCUUCCUUCUUCCAUCCACGGUUGGAAAGGCAAAUUUUUUUAUAUUGCCGCUGACCACCCGUGGGGCUUUGACUGGACCUGGACGACUUCCAAUCUCCCCCCGAACAUAAAUGAAACAGUUCUGGAGGAAAAUCGAGAUAUACGAGAAGCUUUUCGAAGUCCAGGUUCCUCCGCUUCAGGAGCUGCUCAAGGAGCAGCCCCUUUACGACGUCGGGAUAAGUCCGACAAGCCAUCUCGGUAGUCUUCUUUUUCGCAGAUUUUUUUAUAGUUUUUACUUUGUUUGUAGACUAACCUUUCUUUGUCGUACUCAUGCAGGCAUGAGGGUUACGGUGGGAUCUCUCAAGGAAGCGGUUCGGAAGAAAAAGAUGAAGGCAUUAUCCAGGCCCGACGUCCCUCUCGACCACUGAAAAAGCCGAGGGAACACUUCCCUCCUCGGGUAUCGAGGAGUACACAGUCGCCGUCGCUGCCCCGACUACUGUUGAAAGCGUUCUUCCCUACUAUCCGUCACUGAAGUCGUCAUAAUCGUGGUUUCUCCCCCGACUGACGAGGAUGUGGUAAUCAUCGAGCCGCCGACAAGGCCGAUCGAGGCAGUACAAGCCCUUUCGGUCCAAGUCGGGUCUGGAGGAGGUUGGGCAGCUAGUUAGGAAGCUGCCGACAAAGGUAAGGCACCGAUGCUUCCUGCUUUUACUAUGGACUACGGUCCAGAUUUGCCUUUUGGGGAGCCAACUAUCGCGAUCGAGAUGCACUUCAAAGCCACUGAUCAGGCACUCCAAGAUCGCCGACUUGUCGGAGAGUUGGCGAGAAUGAUGAUGCUUUUUGCACAUUGAGAAGUCAAGAAGGCGUGCCCAAUCUCGAAGAUUCAGUUGGGCGCUUACGUGUCGUUGAUCGGGAUAAGUCUUCGAUCUUUUCUUAUUCGAUUUUUUUCUGGAUUGCUUUUGACCGAGUAGAUGACUUAGUCGCUUUUUCUAUUUUACAGAUGAUCCACGACAUUACAAUUUUGUCGGAAGAGUUGAUCAAAUCUGCUUAGGUCAACCUGGAGCUGGAGGACCAGGCUCAGAUCGCUUGUGCGUAGGCCGAGGUCGUCGAUGAGCUCCUUUGGAUUGUCGAGGAGCAGGAAAGGAAGAGUAGAGAGAAGAUCGCCCUGCUGGAGGCCGAAUUGGCGAACUCGGCGAUCCGAUAGGAGCAAGAAAAGGAGGAAUUUGAUAGGUUGAAGGCCAACUAUCAGAAGGAAAUGGAGUCGGCUGAGAGUGCCCUUGUCGGGGAGAGGAAGAAGAGGCAGAAGGUAGAGAAGGCGGCUGAGGAGGCCGAGAAUGCCGCUGAGGAGGCCAAGACUACCAAGGAGGCUAAGAAGACUGCUGUCGAGUUGAAGGAGAAACUACUAGCGGCGGCAGAGACUCUGGCCCAAGAAGCUGCUUCUUAGGCACUGGCCAAGUUUCGUAGGUCAAAGAAGUAUGAGGACGAGCUUGCUGAUGCCGGUGCGGACGCAUACCAGCUCGGAUUUGAGGAAUGUAAGAAGCAGGUCCACCAUCUCAUGCCCAAGCUAGAUUUAAGCUUGAUACAAGUCAACAAAGAAUCGGAUGAGUUGGGCGAUGAGGAAGCGGAGGUCGAGGAGGAUCGUCCCCAGCCUACUUAGAUUUCUUUUGUACUUUUUUGCUUUUCGAUCUUCCACCUUGUAACUUUGUAAUGAACUCCUGUUUAAUGAAAUGAUCUUCUCUUCCAAUUUUUGAGUUGUUUGGCUUGACUUGUAUGCAUGCUUUCCUCUCUUGUUUAUUCACUUUUUUUUCUGCAAAAUUGACUAAGUAAUGUAGUCAGCAAGAAAGUAAAGUAGUCGGUAGGAAGCAGCAAACCGAGUAGGUUGUAGCUGAAUUAACGGAUUUGAGAGAAUUCUCUAAGUCAUGUAAUCGAUUUUUGUAGGCAAACUCGGUCAGACUGAAGUCAUAGUCGUAGAUUGUUCGUCGUAGAUUAUUUCAUUGAGUAGGAACUUAGAGGAGAUUUUUGUUUAGGAUCAGUGGAUCCUUGGCCAGUCGGUGUUAAGCCGACUUACCAUAAGUUUAUUUUCGCCAGGUGUUAUGGCAAACCACAGCUUCCAUACUCGUGGCCCUUGGACUGUUGCGAAUAUAUGUUUGCGGUUGUCGUACCUCACAGCUCGAUAUCCGAUUCAAUCGAACACCACAUUUGUUUUGCCGAAUGUUAUGGCCCCAUGGCUUAUUGAUCCUGUCAGGCUUGUAGGCACUCGGACAGGUAUGCCAUCGGAUGUCGGAUCUCACGGCUCUGCUAAUUGGGCAUUAGCCAACUAACGCAGUCAUUUUGCUUAGGUCUCGUGCUUAACCUGGCACUACAGCUUUUGACAAGCAUGCUUACGGUUGAGGGACCCUUCCAUUGUUAGGAAUGGGCCCACUCCCAGCUUCAUUAGUCGGGUAUGAGCCGACUAGCGCUUCGUUAGGUAUAAGUCGAUAAGUGAGUGGUUGUGUUAUAGAUCUCUGAGAACUUAAACUGCAAGGCACAGAAUUUGCAGAAAGAAAGAUCUUUUUAUUGAUGAAGGCAUUCUUAUUGAUAAUACAUCAGUAGGUUUUCGAUGUUUCAGAUUCGAGGGAUCUCGGUGCUGUCCCAAUUAUCAAUUUUGUAGGCCUCUGGUCGCAGGACUGUUGAGAUUUUGUAGGGAUCUUCCCAAUUUGGAGACAGCUAUCCUUGCUCGGUGGGCUUGAAGAUUUUUGCUCUUCUGGGGACCAAGUCUCCUACUCAGAAAAUUUUUGGUUUGACUCAGGAGUUGUAACACUGAGCUACCUUUUGUUGGUAGAAGGCCAUUCUCAGUCGAGCUCGUUUUUGGAUUUUCUUGAGCAAAUCCAAUUCUGCUCAUCUCUUGUCCGAAUUGGUUGAUUCAUCGUAGUAUUCCAUCCGAGUCGAAGGUAAGCCGAUUCCAAUUGAAAUUAUGGCUUUAGUUCCGAAUGCCAACUUGAAUGGAGUCUUUCCGGUCGGGAUUCGAGGAGUUGUUUGAUAAGACCAUAGGACACUGUGAAGCUCGUCGGUCCAGCUUCUUUUAGUUUGAUCGAUUCUAGUCUUCAAGCCUUGGAGAAUCGUCCUGUUAGUCACCUCAGCUUCUUUGUUGGAUUGAGGAUGUCCGACUGAAGUGAGCUUGUCGAUGAUAUGAUACCUCGCACAGAACUCUUCGAACUUUACGUUGUUGAACUGUCGGCUGUUGUCAGUGAUGAUCACUCGGGAUAGACCAAAUCAGCGGAUGAUGGAUUUUCAUAGAAAAUCGAUAGUCUUCUGCUCUGUUAUCUACGCCAAUGGUUUGGGUUUCGACCCACUUAGUGAAGUAGUCGAUGGCCACUAUGAGGAAUCUUCUUUAUCCGCUAGCAGGCGGGAAUGGUCUGAGUAUAUCGACUCCUCAUUGGUCGAAUGGUCAGGGUGCCGAGAUGGUUGUAAGGUGACUGGACAGAAGCCUGCUUUUGUUGGCGAACCUUUGACAUUGAUCACAUUUCUACACCAAGUCGUAGGCGUCCUUCUGCAUAGUUGGCCACAGCAACUUGCCCCCCAAGUGACCGCAAAUGCCUUCAUGCACUUCUCGAAGAGUGUAGUCGGUCUCGGAAGGUUGGAGACACUUGAGCAGGGGUAGAGACAUUGACCUUCUAUAGAGUUGAUUGUCAAUGAUCAUGUAUCGAGUUGCCAAUCUCUUUAGUCGGCGUGCCUCAUCAAGAUCAACCGGCAAGGUUUCGUCCAUCAAGAAUUUGAUGAACAGGUCAAUCCAACUCAGCUCAUGUCUGACUUGGAUCUGAUGAACUUCUUCCUCUGAGUCGAUGCUUGGGCUCUUAAGAUGCUCGAUGAAGAUUUUUUCAAGCUCGCCGCAACUGGAGGUAGCGAGACGAGACAAGGAGUCAGCUCGGGUAUUCUCGGAGGGAUGUGGAAAAUCUCAAAGUAAUCAAAAUAUGGCUGCAGAGACUUAAGCCUUUGUAGAUACUCAGAGAGGAUAGGAUCUCGGGCUGCAUAUUCUCCUCGGGACUGUUCGGCGAUGAGCUGCGAAUCAGUGAAUACCCGUAGGUGCUUCAUACUAAGAUUUUUAGCAAUCUUCAACUCGAUUAUUAGGGCUUCGUACUCCGCUUAGUUAUUUGAAGUCUUGAAGCCGAAUCGAAGAGCAUACUCGAUCACCAUCCCGUCAACAUGGGUCAAAAUCAGGCCCGCACCGCAUCCUUGAGCGUUUGAAGCUGCAUCCAUGUAUAGAAUCCACAUGGAUUCUUAAGUGUCCUCCGAGGAGUUAUCUUCAACUCGAUCGUUGUUGGUUGCGGCGCACUCGACGAUAAAAUCGACGAGAAUUUGGACCUUCAUCGAAGAUCUUGAGACGAAAGAAAGGUCGAACUCGAUGAGUUCAACUGCCCAUUUCACCAUUCUCCUUAAGGUGUCUGGCCUGUGAAGUAAAGUCCUUAGGGGGAGGUCGGUCAGAACUUUCACCGAAUGGGCUUGGAAAUAGGCCCGUAAUCGCUGAAUAGUCGUUAUGAUUAUGAAGACGACCUUUUCAAUCCGAGAAUAUCUUGUCUCGAUGUCGCGCAGCACCCGACUUACGUAGUAGAUGGGCCUCUGCACUUUGUCUUCUUCUCACACCAGCACUGAGCUGAUGGUUUCAAAAGUCGUCGCCAUGUACAUGAGUAAUUCGUCGUCGCUGCUGGGCUUUGUCAGAAAUGGAGGAGAGCUAAGUUAUUGCUUCAACUUAUCGAAGGAGUUUUGGCACUCCUCUGUCCAGGUGAAGUCCUGCCUGAGGGUUUUGAAGAAGGAAAGGCACCGUUCUGCAGAUUUGGAGAUGAAUCAGCUUAAGGACGCAAUACGUCUCGCCAAUCUUCGAAUGUCUUUUCGAAAAUUUGGAGGCUUCAUGUUGAGAACCGUCUUGAUCUUUUCGAGAUUGGCCUCGAUGCCUCUCUUUGUCACCCUAAAGCUGAGAAACUUCUCCGACGUGACAUCGAAGACGCACUUAGUCGGAUUUAGUUUCAUUUGGUGCUUUCUCAAGAUGUCGAAAGCUUCAGUCAGGUCGUUGAUAUGGAGGGCAGCUUUAGUGCUUUUCACGAACAUAUCGUCGAUGUAGACUUCCAUAUUGUGUCCAAUCUGGUCUUUGAAGACUUUAUUGACUAGCCUUUGAUACGUUACUCCAGUAUUUUUGAGGUCAAAGGGCAUGACUUUGUAGCAGUAUAGAUCUUUGUUGGUGAUAAAUACCGUCUUCUCCUCGUCCUCGGGUGCCAUCUGGAUCUAGUUAAAGCCGGAGAAGGCAUCCAUAAAGUUGAGCAGCUGAAAGUCCCGACGUCGUAUCGACUAGUUGAUCUAUUCGGGAGAGUGGAAAGCUGUCCUUGGGACAGACUUUGUUCAAGUCGGUGUAGUUGAUGCAGAUUCGCCAUUUAUCAUUAGCUUUUUUAACCAUCACUACAUUCGCGAGCCAAUCCGGAUUAGGUUGUCUCACGGAUGAAGUCGGCUGUCAAUAAUUUGUCAAUCUUUUUAUCAAUGACCUUCUGUCGUUUUGCAGCAAAGCUUCUCUUUUUUUGUCUCACCGGCUUGUGGUGGGAUCGACGUUUAGUCGGUGGAUAAUGACUUCUGGAGAGAUGCUCGGCAUGUUUGAGGCAAACCAGGCGAAGACGUAGGUGUUUCUUCUUAGAAAAUCAAUCAGCUUGUCUCGCAGUUCCCUGCUCAGUGAAGAUCCGACUUGAAUGGUUUUAGUCGGAUCUCCAUUGUAUAGGGGAACUGAGAUGAGUUGCUCCACGAGUUCUUCCUGACUUUCGACUUCUCUCUGAUCCAGUCCGUCAUCGAUGAGGAGAGCUUCAGCUGAUCUUUUUUCAUUGGAGAUGGUUAAAUAGCAUUGUUGGGCCAAUUGUUGGUCUCCUCGCAUCUCGUCGGGUCCGUCCUUUGAUGGGAAGCGCACGAGAAGAUGGUAAGUUGAGACGACUGCUCGAAGUGCAUUUAAUCUGAGCCAUCCUAAGAUAACGUUAUAGGCUGAUGGGACCCGGGAUACAAGAAAGUUGAGGCACACGGUCGAUUGCCGAGAUGAUUGCCCGACCGUGAUAGGGAGUUCGAUCUCGCCUUUCACUUUGAUCGAGUCACCUGUAAACUCGAUUAGAGGAACAUUGAUUGGUUUGAGAAGUUUAGAAGAAAGUCAUCGCAUUCAGGAGAAGCAGUCGUAGGAAAUCACGUUAGCGAAACUUUCAUUAUCAAUAAGACAUCUUUUUACAUCAUAGUUGGCAAUUUUCAUCGAUACAACUAUAGCAUCAUUGUGGGGAGUUUGGACUCGCAAAUCUGCUUCGGUAAAGAUGAUGUCAUUGUUGGCCCGCUGGUGCUUGGAAGUGCUUUCGCAGUCGUCUACCCUCUGAAGUCGCGAUCCCAUCGAGAUCAUGUUGAUCAUGCCCCCCAUAGGUUGAGUGUGAUUCUCCUCAGGUCGAGACCGUGGUGGUGGAUCGGAAGGCAGCUGUGCAGGUCGCUCCCGCACGUACUUCUUGAGAUACCACUGCCUGAUCAGAUCUUCAAUCUCAUUUUUCAACUUGUGGCAUUGUUUGGUAUCGUGACCAUGGUUGCGAUAGAACCGACAGUAGUGGUUCCGAUCACGAGAUGCAGGCUUUGAUCUUAUCGAUUGGGGUCGUCGAAGGAAGUUCUCCCCUUCCAUUUUUAUGAGGAUCUGGGCACGAGGAAUAGUCAGAGAAGUGUAGGAGUCGUACCUGUUGAUGGGGUUCUUGGGCUUCGGAUUUGAUCGAGGUGGAGCCUCCUCGGUGCGGACCCGACUAGGCUCCUCGGAGAUCCCCUCCUUCCUCGCCUUCUUCUUUCGGCCCUUUUCUCGGACUCAUGUUAGUCAACUGUAGCCUCCUUGGUGCGGAUGUACUUCUGCGUGCGCUCGAGGAGUUCGACGUAGGACCAAAGAAGCGUCUUAUCCGAGUAGGUGAACUUAGAGCUUCACAGUCCCCACUUCAUGGCUGUGAUAGCUGUCGAUUCGUCAAGGUCCUUGACCUCCAAGGUGGCAAUAUUAAAACGCAUCAUGAAAUCACGUAGAGAUUCUCCAUCUUGCUACUUGAUGGAGAAAAGACUGUCGAUGGUUUGCGGUACUCUCCGAUUGGUACCGAAGUGCACCACGAAUAAUUGCUCGAAUUACUCAAAAGAGUUAAUGCUUUCCGACUGAAAUCCGGAGUACCACGCUCGCGCAGUUUUUCGGAGCAUAAUCGGAAAGGCAAUGCAGAGGAGGGCGUCGCAUGCCCCCUGUAAGAGCAUGAGAGCUUUGUAGCUCUCGAGAUGAUCGAAUGGGUUGGUGGAGCCAUCAUAUGGCUCAAUCUGCGGCAUUUUGAAUCGACUUGGAAUUGGUUCGUCGAAAAUUCGACGAGAGAAAGGCGGACUCGUACUAAUGCUGAAUUCGUUGGUGGGGUCUCGAUGGUUUGCUUGGAGCUGUUCCAUUCGGCGAUCCAACUCCUUUAGCUUUCGAUCGUACUUGUUCAAUCGUUGUUGCGACACGUCGAGAUGCCAUGAGUAGCUUGGGGUAGAGCUUUCCCCAGAAGAAGAGGAUUUUGGCGGAGAUCAUGGCCUCUUCCAUUUGCGUGAAGCUCGUUAAGGGGAAUGAGGCCGGCGAUCGCUAGAGUCGGCAUGCGAGACGCAUCGAGAGUCUAAAUGUGGUGACUGUCGGGCGGGUCGAGAACUCGCCCGACGAGAGCGUUGUGUAGGGUGGCAGGUUAGAGAUCGCGGCCGGUGACCGUGACUAGAAGGUGCGUCACGUGGUGCAAUCUCCUCCGACCGUUGCUGCUGCUGCUGUUGUUGUUGGAGAUCGUAGACGGCCUCCAUCAAAUUUUUUACCUGCUGCACAAGGGCAGUGAACCCAGGAUCUGUCGUCACCGACGGUCGUGAAAUGCUCGGUUCUCCGAGAGUGACCGGAGGUGCGUCAUGCCAGGAUGAACAUCGAGCGGAGCUUGCGGAAGUAUUUUGCGUUCUCAUCUUGGUCAUGGAGGUCCUUGAGAGAGAAAAUUCUUUUUUGCUCGAUUGUGCCUUCCUACCUGGCGUGCCAAACUGUUGUGGCCUUUCUCUGGUUUUGGUAAUCGGCUUGGAACCGACUAGCUGCUUUGCCUGGAUGCGUUGUGCUGGGACGCUGGAAGAUGAUGUGCCAUCGUCAGAAAAGGUGCACAUAGUCAAGACCGAAGGUGAAAACGAGGGAUUGUCGGUGUACGGUGGAGCUGGUCUCCGCUCAGUGCCGGAGAAGGCGAAAAUCUGCAAAGAAAGUCUCGUCGGAGGUGGCUCCAAUGAGGAUCCUUCGACGCUCAAGUCAGUAAAAUGGCUUGAAGGAAAAGAGCGACAGAGUCUCUGAGUUGCAAAACAAUUGCAUAUCUGGAGGGAUCUUCGCUUAUCUUUAUUUAUAGAGGGAGCAAAAUGAACGAUGAGAGGACAGGUGAUCAUGUCAAUCAUAUCCUAUCGUAUGGUGCCGUAUGGUGCCAUGUAGGCGUCUUUAAAUGUUGACGGCGAGCGUGCAUUCUAUUCGGCACAGAUAAGGCGGCAAACGCCACCAGGCAUGGGGUAUAAUAAAUGACCCUGCGGACGCAUUUAAUGAAUUCAUAGCAUUCCAUUACGGUGCGCAGCUAGUCAGACAGAGUAUGGCAUCUGAGUGACAUGAUCCUGAUGUGGCCUAUCAGGAUGGCAUGGUGGCCAUGUUCGGUGCUCAGCUAGUCGGUAGAGGCCCGCGUUGUUGGAGUCGGUAAGAUGAAGCUGUCGAGGGGUAGUAUCCUGCCAUCGAUGGGCAUAGUCGGCCGUACGCUGAGUAUGAAGUCGGUUACAGGCCGAGCGUUGUUGUGUGUAAGUGGCCAUGGGUAGCAUGUUAAACCUAGUCGGCUUUGUGCUGUCUAGAAGUAUGCUGCCCUUGGUUGGGUGUCCACGAUAGUGCCUGGCAUUGACCCUGCCAGGCGGGAUUCGUCAAUCCGAGUCGGAUUGAGUGGCAGUAGCUUAGUCGGUGUAGCUCCUUUAGCUUUUUCGGAGACGAGAAGGCUUGAUAGUUGGCUAAGCGACGGGGAUCUACCCCAACAAGCUCUCUUUUGUUUCUCUGUUCUCUUUUUCUUGAUUUGAACUUUUACCUGGAGGCCUUUUUGCUAGAUCUUUUAGGGAAACCAUUAUUUGAUGGGGAGAGCUCCAGGGCUCUAUCUUUCGUGCUUCUUUUCUUGUUCUUUUCCCUAGAUUAAUGUGGCAGCAGCUUUUCUUCAUUUCUUGAUUUAAAUAUCCGACCAGAGUCUAAUUUUGCCAUAUACUUUUUUUCUGUUGAUUUCUUUGUAUAUUGUGUUCUGUUUUUUUUCAUUCGCAAUCAUUUAUAUGCCCUUUUUCUUUGAUCGGUCAAGUAUCAGUCAAAGAUUGGAUAAAAAGAAACUGACCAAACUUUGUAAUCUCUUGCAAGGGCCUAUGCAGCAAUGAUCUGAGGUGUGAAAAUUAUUUGGACAAUAUUUGGAAAAGAUUAACCAUAUAGAGGAGGCUUUAUGUGGAAACAGAAUUUUAAAGCUAACCUGAGUAGUUGGUAGUUGUGAUAACAUUAAACUAAAUAUUUCUCUCGUAUUUUGAUCUAAGUAUAUUCAGUUUCUGAUAUGAAGUUCAGCUGAAAAUAUUGUUUAUCUUUGAGCUGCCCACAUAGAUUUGCCUGAUACAAUGUUUUGCUCAUGUAACUGUUCAUGUUCUAAAAAAUCUCAAUUCAACUAUAUUUCUUGCUUAUUAUUUCAUAUUCUGAUCUUAACUGGAUUUUUUUUUUAAUGUGUGUCAUGGAUACCACUUUGCCCAAUAUUAUAACUGUGAUUCUUGACUAUUAUUUCAUGUUCUAAGGAAACUUAAUUUGAAUAUGUAAGUUGGUUUUGCUAUUCAAUAGCUGGUUGAUCUGUAGAUCAUCUCUAUUAGCAGUUAGGAUUAUUUAACUAAAAACCUAUAUCACGUUACCAUAAGAUUUAUCGGAUUUCUUUCAAGUAAAAUUCAUGUUUUUAUGUCUAAACAGUGGAUUCUGCGAUGUCCUCUUUAUUAAACUGUUCAUGAACCACCUUCUUACCUUUACAGAAAACCAAGACUUGGGAAACCAUUAUGUGGUGGAGCACAUUAAGUGUUGAAUUCAUGUCAAUUACAAGCUUUGGUUUGCAACGAGUUGGGGAAUUUCAAUAAUUUGCCGUUUGAUAUGCAGCAUAAAAUUUUGAUAUCUAUUGUAUUUUAUUAAUAUUUUGGCCAUUUGUGUGAUAUUUGCUUGUUCUGAAUAACCUUAUUCUGUUUACAGGGUACAGGUUUUGGCUAAUAGUGCAAUUGCAACGAUUUUGGUAGUUUUAGUUGCAAAAAUGACUGGUGGGAAAGAGAGGUGCUUGGACACAAAAGAGUCAACUCUUAUUACUGGCCUUAUUGGUGGUAUCAUUGGACAUUAUGCCUGUUGCAAUGGUGACACAUGGUCAUCUGAAAUUGGAAUGCUUAGUAAUGCACAGCCCCGACUAAUUACAACUUUCAAGGUAUGUGCACUAAAACAACUUAGUAAUGUUUAGUAAUGCACUGAAAGAUACCAUUAUAUAUUUAUAAAAACAAACAAUGGGGAUUGUAGCUAUAUAACAUCAGAGAGAAAAUUCAAAAAAAAAAAAAAAAAUCAAGGUCUCUUACUAGCUAUUCAGAAGAAACUCUGAAUUUACAAAAUCAUGGGCUAAUCAUGAUUACAAGGGCUGAUUUGUUUACAUGUAAAUAACAUCUUUGUCUAGCUAGCUGCAUGUUGGUGCAAUACUAAUCAGCAUUAAUUGCAGCAAGUGGAGAAUUUUGUUUUGGUCAUCUUCUUACCAGUGACUAGGUGAUGCAGUUUUGCUGUUUGGUCGGUGAUGUAAGUAAUGGGAUCUAUACACCCCUGAAGUGGGUUGAUAAGAUUACCGCCAUGUUCGUCAACUCAAACAUUUCCCUGAUAGAAUGCAAAUCAUGGAACAAUGAGCUACUUUUGCUUAUCAAACUAUGACUUGCUAAUUAAGACAUAAGUUGCUAAUUUAGAUUUUAUAUGACAAUAAAGACAAAAAAUUCAUAACAUAACAAGUAAAUGAACACUGAGUGGUUGUUCAAUUUGCCAAGCCCUAGAAAGUCAAAUGUUGUUCAUUUUAUAUGCAAAUCUAUAUUCUAGAUUUGGCAUGCACAGCAAACAAGAUGUACACCUGAGUAUCGGUUAGAUACCGGUAUGGUGUGUUGGGUGGUACAUCCCCUGUAUCUAUUCAUAGUUUGUCGGCAUGAGCAUUAUAUUUGUGUCAAUGUGGAUUUGAUAUGGGUUAGUAUGAUGCACGGCACAGGAGGCAUGACACAUGGUACAAGGCUACGAUCAGCAUUUGAAACCUUGAUAAUGAACAAAUUAUGAAUUGGAGACUGUCAAAUGUCACACCAUUAGGAAUCAAGGGUGCAGUGUCAAAAGAAUCCACCUGUCACAUGUUGUCACAUAAUACAUGGGUAUAUGAAAUACAUAUAUAAAUCUACAACCUAGAUGCAUAAUAUAUUUUGUCUUCUUCUACUUGCCGAUGUACAAUUUUAACCUUGGAAAACUUUCUGUCUUUCUUGGUCUUCCAUUCCCUUUCUCUGUACAUCCAUUCACAAUCUCAGUCAUCUCUGCUUUGCAUCUACUGCUAGUGAGCUGUAUGUGAGCCUAAAGAAAGAAUUGGAGGAAGAGAUGAAUGCAUGAAACAAAUUUUUGAGAUAAAACAUCAACGCUCAGGUUACAGUGAUAUUCACUAUAAAUAAUAUCCUGUCCAGAUGAAUGACUAAAGUAUCCCUAGAGGCUUGCAUUUUUGCUAUCAUAUUUUGGCUUAUGUCAUGAAUGAACAAAACCUGCUAAGUCUUGAAAACUAACCUAAAAACUGAAGAACUUGUAGGCAGCUUUGGGAAAUCUCAAAAGUUUAAAGAGCAUGUCAAAGGUGGGGAAAAAAAGGAGAGAACGUGGAAUCCAAAAUCUCCAAGAAAAAUGUGAAUUCAACUACUAAUAACCAUUUUGAAACCACAUGGAUUAACCAACAGAAAUUGCGUGGGAUCAUGGAGGCUAUGAGGGUCAAGUGAAGCAACAUAAAAGUCUAGAAAUGGAUACCCAACUGCCAGCUAUAUGGAUCCAUUAUCUAACAUGUUGUUUGUUCUAGACUGCCCAUAAAGCAGCAAACUCCACAAAAAAUGGUAUAACAUUAGUUGAAAUGCAUGGCAGAUAAAAUAAGUGUGUGACUAACUAUGAUGUAAGCAUAUAACGUACCACCUAGACUGCAUACAACACUAUAGUCAACCAAUAUAUAUCAAUAGGAAACAAGAAAGAGUGAUGACAAGAUGUGUUGGAAUAUUAAGUGGAAGUUUUAGUAUUGUUGUAGAAGCUCAUGCUAACCAACAACAGUCUCUGGGACCUUCACUACCAUUUCUUUGUACAAGUUGUCUAUGCAGAUAGCUAGAAAUCCAAGAAUGAAAGCCAAAGCAAUAAAAUCACCUAAAUUAUGUUUUUGCCAAACUGAAUUGUUUGUUUACUGCAGCUAACCGUCACCAUCCUCAUCCUUUCUCCUUCCUCCAAGAUUAGCAAUUGAAUCAAAAAUAGUGAUUUCCUUGAACAAUUAAGUGUCAACAGAAGUGCUAUAUAGUCUGUCCUAUGAAUGCCCUCCAAUAACGAAAUGAACAUUCUUCAACAUGACACCAUGCUCAUACUUCAGAUGGAAAAUGUUGUCAUCAAUAAAUCCAUAGUUAUACAUCAUCUCUCUUUUAUAUGACCGUAUAUUAUCAGGUGGGCAAGUCUUCCUUGCACAUAGAAAUACUUGCAUAAGCAAACAGUUUUACUGACUACUUUCUUGAGGACCACAUUUUCAUCAAAUGACCUGGCCUCUCUUGGCUCAUCCACCAUCAAGAUUUUUUUCUCCCCGACUAAACAGGUGUGCUAUUCUUUAUGCUGCUUUUAUGUUCUUACGCUCAUUUUCCUUUCAUGGAUGAUGAAACUGCAGUUUCUCUGAGUUUAUUAAGAUAAUAUUCUAAAGUCAUAAGUUGAAUGUGUUGAGUAUUCAGUUUUCCCUCCCCUAAGCGCAGCCUCUCUCCAUGUUCUUUCUUUUGUUCUUAAUAGCAAGCACUGGACUUAAAUGAGGUUACUCUAGGUGUUUUCACAAUGCUGAACUAGUACCUCCUUUAUUCAAUAGUUCGAAGUAAAGCUUCCAUCCAGAUGGGGAGAAAAAAAAAAUAGAGUACAAUAUCUGAAGUUGAGUGAGAAUUUCCUAGAGGAUUGGAUGGAAUGGACAAUGCUUAAGGUAGGUGAGAUAGGAGAUUGGCGGGAAAGAGGCCAUACCAUGCCAGUUGACCUAGUUCACGAACCAUGGUAAUAGGAAGGUUUUUCAACAUCCAUGGCCAAACCUCUAAAUAAGUUCCCCACUAAAACCAAAGCAUUGGUCAACUUGUAGGUACAAAAAAUUCUUGUCCCCUCCUAGCAGCAAGUUUUCUCUUUGAAUUUAGCCUUUCGGGCCCAUUUUUUGGUGAAUAAAUAUUAUGAAAAAGUUGAUCAAUUUUUUUAUUAACCAACUUAUCCAUAUUCUCAUAUUUCUCUAGGUAGGUAAAUUAUUUUUUAUGGAUAGUAUUUAUCCAUGAAAUGGGAAAGUUUUACCCACCUAUAAGGUGGAUAAGUCAUUUUUCCAUCAAUCGAAAAAAUAAUCUUUUUAUUUUAUUCCUAAUAUACCCCUAAUCCUAUAAUAAUAAUAAAAUAAUAUGUAGUACUAUCUUAUAUAUAAUAUAAUAUAAUUUUAUUAUGCAAUAAUAUUUUAUUAAUUUAAUUUAAUAUAAUAUUAUAAUAUUAUUAUUUUAUAAUAUUAUAAUAAUAAAAUAUAAUAAUAUAUUAUUUUAAUAUAUAUUAAUAUUAUAUGAUAUAUUAUAAUAUAUAUUUUAUUUAUUUGUAUAUAAUAUAAUUUAUUAUAUGAUAUUAUAUAUUGUAUAUAUUAUAUAUAUUUAUGAAUAUAUAUUAUAUAAUAUUAUAUAUUAUAACAUACAAAAUAUAAUAUAUUAUACUAUAUCAUUAUAUAUAAGAAUAUUUAUAUAAUAAAUGGUAUUAUGAGAAAUAUGGAUAAAUCUUAGCAACUUAUCCAGAAAACUAGUAAGGCAAAAGAACAUGAGUAACAAAUUCCCAAGUCAUUUAUCAAUGCAUAAAAGAAUAUGGGUAAAUUAUUUUUCAGUCUAAAUGUUACCUGGAAAAUACUUAUAUAGAAAAAUAUAGAUUCCUGGAUAAGUUUUUUACCUUCAAAAGAAUGAGUCCUUCAAGUAAAAUAGGCCAUUAAUCCCCCAGAUUGUAUGUUAAUUUUACCGUGUGGUAGGUGCGCUGAGUUUUGUUGGAAAAUAUUUUGAAACUCGGAUAACUCCUAACCUCGAAACUGUCAAAUGACUUGUUAGAUUCGUAAUUUAGAUUUUAGAGUGCUGGAAAUAGUAGUCUGAUUAGAAAACUUUGUUGGUAAGUAGACAAAUAUUGAGGCAGUUAAGUUGAGCCAAACAGCCAUCCUACUUCAUUGUUGUUAAAUUUGCAUUUUGAAGGUAUGAUGGUAGAAAAAGACCCAUCAGAUGAUCUGGAAAGCAAGGAUCAGGAAUAAGCCAAACAAAAUUCCAACAAGGCAAGUGGUGUUAAAUGAACUUCUACGAAGUGGUAAUGGCCAAUCAAGCAGGUCUUGAUCUCAUCUUUCUGUACCCUGCCGAUUGAGCAAGAAUAAAAAAGCAAUUGAGACAGGCAUUCUGAUGUCCCUCUUUGAUCUUCUCUGUAUUUCAUCAGCUGGAUUAUGUAUUUCACAUAGCAUUUGGAUCCAAUUACUAAAAUGCCAUGUAGUACCUUUAUGUCAAUCUCUCGAGGGAUGCCAAUAUCAGUAUAUUCUGAUGCAAUUUUGCUUUUCCUAGUUGCCUAAUAGGAGUCAUAUAGUUUUCUUCAAAUAAUAAAUUAAUAAUCCCUAUUAAAGCUCCUGGAAAUGUAACAUAGAACAGAAUUUGCACCUCGCAUUGUGUCCAUUUUUUGUCCCCGGCUUGCAUUCCAGGUGUGUGUUAACUGUUUUCUAAAAUAAAAUGUAAUAAAAAGGCUGUGAAUGCUGCUGAAUAGUUAUCCCUCCUAAGGAUUUGAAUAUUAUAAAUUUCUUGCUUUACAAUUAAUGCAAAGAAUGCUUCUCACUACUAACCAGAUAUCCUGGGUUGAUGAUUGUAGCACCUUAUGAUCAUUUUAUUUUUUCUGAAUAGUGGAAACAUCUCUAAACCAUUUUUCUCUCCCUGUAUGAGCAGACUGUCCGAAAGGGAACAAAUGGUGCAGUCACAGUAGAAGGACUUCUAGCAGCUGCAGCAGCUGGCUUUGUUAUCGGGCUUACUUAUGUCAUUGUUGGAUUGCUUACAGUUGAAUGUGCUCAUGAUGUCAUCUGGAGGCAGCUGCUAGUAAUACCAGUCGCUGCAGCAGCUGGUCUAUGUGGGAGUUUGAUUGAUUCAUUAUUGGGUGCAACGCUCCAGUUCAGUGGUUAUUGCACCUUGAGGAAAAGGGUAAUGAAUACAUUGGCCAUGUCCCAUAAAGUUUCUUUUAUCACUAUCUCAUUUUUUUUAAACAACAUGUUAUCAGUCCCCUUUAAGCAACUUAACAGGAAACUGCUUGACGUAAGUGACCGAAUUUAUUUAUUAAUCAAAGAAUAGGAAAAAUAACCAUGAUAUGUUUGUUCAUACAUGCUUUGCUUUCUAAAUCACAUUAUUGUGCAACAGAUCCCCUGAAUAUUUACUUCAGAAGGAAUCUGCUAAAUCAUCAGCUAAUAAACUGCAUGAUUUCUUGUAGGACUUCUUAUAGGAAAAUCUUUUGCAAAAGCCAUCUUUGUCAUGUUUGGCAAUUGCUCUAAGACUCUGCUAAUCUGAUUUUGCAUGUUGAUCAGCCACCUCUGGGAGCAUGAGGUUCAUGAAGCUGCACCUUUUGCAUUCAUCUUUUUAUAUCUUGCUUUAAAUUCUACAUAAGUUUUCUGCUAUUGGCUUCCAGCAGGAGUUCAUUAAUUCGAUAGUUCCAGAAUUAUUUAUUUGAUCGAGGGACAUUGCAUUGAGGUUAUCAUCAAUGGGCUUGUAAUCAAUAUUGAUUCCCCAUGAUGUAGUUGCGCAGUCCAAUUCUGCUUAUUUGCAUUACGAGGGAAAAUAUUCAGUUAUUUCUGCUUGUUCUUAUCAAAAUUUUCUGCUGAUACAAAAUAUGAAAGAUGUGUCGUAACUAAUAUGUUUUUCUUUGAAGGUGGUUGGAAAACGUGCACCUACUGUGGUCAAGAUUUCAGGAAUGAGCAUUCUAGACAACAAUGCUGUGAAUGCAGUGUCGGUGCUAGCAACAACACUGCUUACGUCUGUUGCGUGCUUGUACAUCUUCUAGUUGCUUCCGAAUCUUGCUUUCAUGACUAAUUCUUCUUGAUUCUCGGACAAUAGCUACUGUACCGUCAACAUGACAGCAGGACUUGGUCCCAUCUCUUUAUCGAGGGAGGCAGGCAUACCAUUCUUCUCGGCAUUUUUCUGGGGCGAUAACCUGUCGGCCGUUUAACAACUGUGGCGUUCGUGUACCAAAGUGUGAUAUGUAAAUGACCAGGCUCCUUGCUGGAUAUAUUCCAGAAAAGUCAAAAACUAAGGGAUAAAGGGUCUGUAAAAUCUUCAAGUCAGGAAAAAAAUGAUGAAAAGUCAUUUAUAAAUAGGGGUAUUUGAUGACAUGUGUUCUACUUGUAAGGAGUUAAAAUUUUGGGGUAAUCUUUUUAUAAACUGGGGUAUUUAUGGUGCUGAUGUGUUCUAGAUGGUUGCUUGUACAUGGGAAUGGUGGUGUUGAGGAUAAACACAACUUUGGGAGAAAAGAAGUUUCUGGGGCUCUUGAGUAUUAAGGAGAAGAAGAGCACUUGUUGUGGAAAUGCAGAACAAUUCUAUUAAUCUCCAUGCUACCAACAACGGUUGAUUCCUUUAUUAUUGAAAGCUGAACUCAUGAUUGCAGGAUGAUGGAAAGAUUGACAUGCUGCAAUUUCUUUGAGCGCUCGAUAGACUUGCUCAAAGAAUUCCACUACAAAUGAUCCCGCUCGGUGUACCAGCAUAAGGUGUAACCGUCUAUCAGGAUAUGAUGAUGACAAUAAUAAUAGCAUAUGUAAAACGAAGGCAAAAAAGCCUCGUAAUUCUGGUGGAAGUUGGAAAUGAGGGUAAUCAUUCAUAACGAGCGUGAUCAUAAUCACAGGUGGGAUUGCAAGAUUUAGAGAGAGCUGCAAGUUACCCAGAGAACAUAUGAAAGGACUUGCCAUACAUUGUUUCUCCCCGCGUGCUGAAUUGCAAGUUGCAACGAUAUGCAAUCGCGUCUUUCCUAAGAAAAGCACUUUUAAGUGACGUAUAUAAGAAGAUCUACAAUCUUAUCGAGCAGUGGAGUGUUUGCUAAGAAUAGUGUUGGUUGUAAGGUCUAAGACUUGCGGGAACUUACUGGGCCGAUAGCGUAAGCUUGUCCUUACUGGGCCUACAUUCUACGCCGAGAUUAUCAUUUAACAAAUUGGACGGGUUUUGCUCUCAAUUUCCUCUAAAAAGACAUGCAGCCAGAUGCACCAGAUCAGGAAAUGAAACAUACUUGAAGUUCUGCAUCUUCCACUUCUCAGUUCCUUGAAAAAAUAAAAAAUCCCUGGUAAACGGAGCCAUCCACAUACAAUCCUUAUAAAAGAACCUCGUGCAUGCCGUAAUUGGCAAAAACCGAGUACGGAACAUUAAAUUGGAAGCGUUAGGUAAAAAUAAGCCUUCUUGCAAUUUCCCUCUUAUUAUAAAAGCAGCUACCAAUAGAAUGGCAAGUCGUCUUUUUUCGAAUGAGGAAUGGGGGAGCUUUCCGAUAUAGAUUCCUCUCCGGUCGGCAAACCUCGUGAGUUUCUAGUAGGUGCCCAGAUGCGAUCGUGCGAUAUCGUCAAUCUUCGUGCAGCCUCUGAAGCAUUUGGUCGAAUGGGUGCUGGGGUGGUUACUAGGUGUUCGAGGGGAUUGUAAUGGUGGACAAAGGCAAAGGAGCGAGUAACAAUGGCCGAUUUUCACCGGAGCCGAGCGGUGGAGAGCGCUCUUGGGCUCGUGUAGCUCAAAGGCCGCCGCGGCAGUCCCGAUGGACGAAGCACAAAAUCACGCUAGAGGUAGUGGAGCAGCUCCAGCGGUUCUUCACCAAGGUGCUAGAGUUCCCGAAGGAGAAGAUGGAGGCGUCCCGGAACCAGUGGAGGAACGUCUCUAUGUUGGCUCGAAGUUUUGGCCGGAGGCUGCCGGUGGAGUGGGUGGUGAGAGAGUUUAAGGCUAAAGGGUAGUUUCAAUACGACCCUGAACCGUUCUCUUUGGGCGAGGAUCAUCACCUCGUCCGUUUCUAGUCAGAGGAAUGACUGUAGGAGGAUACUCGAUGGGGGGCCAUGGUUCAUCACCGGCCAACUCUUGGCGGUGGAGCCGUGGGUCCCUGAUCUCAUCCCCGGUGUUAACACAGUACGGAGGAUGGUGAUAUGGAUUCAGCUAACCAGUCUGCUGAUGGAAUACUGGCGGAAGGAGAUGCUAACGGGGAUCAUUGUGGAUGCCAGGAACCCGAUUGUUCUGGACGACUUUACCUAUUCGCAUCGGAAGAUCGGAUUCGCUAGAAUCCCGAUGGAGAUCAACUCGGUGGAGCCCUUGAAACCGGGGGUUUCCAUAAGGGGUGGCAGCCAUUUGCUUACAAAAAAGCGUCGGCCGUGUGCGAUCGGUGUGGCUGGCGGGGCCAUGGAGACAACAACUGCAAGUUCACCCCGGAGAAGAAGGUGGAUUUGGGCCAUGGCCUUCAACUGGAGAACUUUUUUGUGAGCCCCAUGGUGGUGGAGGAAGCGGUGGCGGAGAGUGAGUACCCAACGAAGAUUGUCUGGCCAUGAAUGGGGCCGUGGGUGGCCACCUCAAGGAUUCACCAGCCUAAACCCUCUAGGGUUCCGACGAAAUCGGAGAAGGCGACCGAUUCCAACCCGGAAUCCUUGGCUCCGAGUUCAUCCCUAUCCCAUCCAAGCUCACCGACACAAUAGGUUAGCUUUCCUGGAUCACCGCCAGACUCUGAUGGUUGGCAGAAGCUAACCAAGUUCACCCGUCGACAUUCACUGGAGAAGCCUCGAGAUGGCCCCGACUCGGCUCAAGUCGGAAGCAAUGAGGCAGGAUUGGGCUUCGGUGCUUUGAUCAAGUUGGGCCUAGGCCCAGAGGAUAUGGUGGUGGGCAAUGAGGAAAGCUCGAGCCCAAGCCCACGAGACCACUGCAUUGGGGAAGUGGGUGGGCCACCUUUGAAGCGGGCCAGAAGCCCGACCCGAUAGCCUACUUAAGUUGAGGUCCAGCUCGCUACUGCCGGCUUGUCGGGAAUCCUAUGGCGAGUUCACUGGUUGGGCCGAAGUAGGGAGGGCAGGAGGGCUCUGUGAAGAAAACGGAUGAUGCAUCUGUAUCGAAGCCGGAGAAAGUGAAGCAAUCGUCGAAGGGAGAUGGCCAGCGAGCGUGGAAUGGGAGAGAUUGUCCAAUGGAGCAUAUGGUGGCCAUCCCAGGCCGAGCGUGGAAUGGGGGAGCGACUCUGGCAACCAAGUGGAGGAGAUCCAGGAGAUGCGAUCGAGAGAGGAGAUCUGCAAGCAUGCCUCAAAUCCGGAGGCCAGCCAACUAUCCUCAUCAGGUGUCACUGAGAAGGACGGAGGUGUUGAUGGACGCAGCGGGGAUCUAACGCAGGGCAAUUGUGGGUUGGGCCACGAGGAGGCUAUGGACCGGGUCAAGCAGGCUUUGCAGGUUGUUGGGAGCCAAGUGAAGGCAGUUGAGGGUGACUUGUCGGGUUGUGAGGGGGUGACUCUUCUCGGGGCUUCUCUACUCUGGAAGUUGGUUCCUCAUGAAGAUGUUAUUGUGGAAUGUGAGGGAGGCAGAAAAAUCGACCUUCCACUCCACCUUCAGGAGAAUGAUGCAGCAGUAUGAGUCUAAUCUGCGUCUUGAUGGAGAUGAUGUGGUCUGGGCCUAGCCUGAUGUACAUCUGAUGACGUUUUUCUAUCAGCUGGAGCUUUUAUGCUGUGGAGUCCUAGGGUCUUUCUGGAGGCAUAAUUGUCAUUUGGAAGGCCACUGUAACUUCUAUGGACGUGCUACAUUAAUGUACUCAACAAGCUGUAAUCAUUAUCACUAAAGUUAAUGGAUCUACUUAGCUUUUGUCUGGUGUGCAUGUGAGUACCAAUUAUUUGGAGUGGCGUGUUUUGUGGGGCGAAGUAUUGAUAUUGAUUGAUCAAGCGAUCCUAUUUAUGAUAGAUGGUGGUGAUUUUAACUGUAUUGGAUCUCAAGAGAAAAGGGGGCAGACUCUAUGUUCAUGAUGUGGAGUCCAGAAAGUUCAGGGGCUUUAUUCAGACCAAUGGUCUCGUGGAUCUUGAUUUUAUUGGUCUGAGAUUCACUUGGUGUAACAACCGCCAAAGAGGGAUCAGGGUUUGGAAAAGAAUUGACAGGCUGUUUGUGACUGCUAGUGGGAUACAGAGCCACCCAACUCAGUUGGUCUGCUACUUGUCAAAGAUUACUUCCGACCACUAUUCGAUCUUGUUCGUCACCGAUACCCCCAUCUCUCAUCGAAGCCCUUUUCGAUUUGAAAAGGUGUGGCUCUUCUAUCCUCGAUCCUGGAACAUUGUGAGGGAGGUCUGGUGCAUGCCGGUUCACGGAGAUACCAGGUAUAGAGUUAUCCGGAGGCUAGAGCUAAUGAGGAGGAGGUUUUUGAGAUGGAAUAGGGAGGAGGUUGGGGACAAAUUCAGGAGGUUUGAGACCAUUAAGACUUCCAUUGCUGAGCUACAGGAGUGAGGACCGAGAGGGUGGGCUUGUAGAGGAGUUGGCUGACCUUUAGGGAUUGCUGUUGGAGCACCACUCCUUCUCAAGGCAAUAUGAGAUUUUUUGAAGAUAGAAGUCUAGGAUGCAUUGGAUCAGGGAAGAAAAUCGGAACAUGAGUUUUUUUCAUCAGACAACCAUCAUCCAAAGACACACGAGCCAGAUUUAGAUGAUCAGGGAUGUUGGGGGGUAGUAGUUGUUGGGUGAGGAUUUGCUCAGAUAGGAGAUUGUGAGCUUCUUCAAAUCUUGGUGGACUACAUCACUAAGGGGAGUCAGACCCUCCGAACCCCCCUAGAGAGUGUGGUCACGAAGUAGGAGAAUGGGGAUCUCAUUGAAGCUAUGACGAAGGAGGUGCAAACAAUGCUUUGGUCGAUGGUAAAAAAUAAAGCCUUGGGACCUGAUGGCUUUCCCCCCUUUUCUUCAGAUGAUAUUGGGCUAUCAUCAAGAGUUCUUUAUCAUUGGCCAUAUACCAAGGACUGGGCUAUCGUCCUUAUUUCGAAGAGAUAGGAUGCUUUGGAGUCAAGAUAUUUCAGACCAAUCAGCCUAUGCAUGACCAUGUACAAGUUAUGCGCUAAAUUGAUGGUCCAUAGGAUGAAGAUUGUCCUUCCUUAUCUAAUAUGUUUGGAGCAGGAUGUAUUUGUCGAGGACCGUAGCAUCUUUGAUAACAUUUUCAUUGAAUAGGAAUUCAUGCAUGAUCUCGAUCGAGCUUCUCCCCACCACGCGCUCAUGGUGAUUAAGUUCGAUAUGGAGAGGGCUUAUGAUCGAAUGAGUUGGUAAUUUCUUGAGGAAGCAUUGUCAUGCUUUGGAUUUCACCCCCACUGGAUUGAUUGGAUUAUGAUGUGCGUUCGAAGUCUUAUUUUGGUCAAUGGGAUGCCCUUAGAGUUCUUUUGUACUAUAGUGGGACUGUGGCAAGGUUGUCCUCUAUCUCUCUAUCUUUUUUAUUAUCUGCACUAACACCCUCUCAAGAGCUCUUCGUGCUGCAUCCCUAGGAUCGGUGAUAGCUUCCUAUGUGCCAGCCCCAAGGGCCCAGCUGAUCUCACAUAUCUUUUUUGCAGACUACUAUUUGUUGGUGGGUUGGGCCACAGUUCGGAGCACCACCAGAUUCAAAUCGAUCUUGGAAGACUAUUGUGGUGUCUCGGGACAGAAGAUGAAUCAUCUCAAGUCAGCGGUGCAUUUUAGUCUGAGGACACUAAUGCAAGUCCACCACUCGAUCAUGGAGAGAUUGGGGGUUGCUGAGCACUGCGGGAUACUGCAGUACUUGGGAGUGCCCUUCUCCAAACACAGAUUGAGGAGGAUCAAGCCGAGGGGGCGAAGCACACCACUCUGGAGCGGUUGGAUGGCUGGUAGGCUCGAAUUCUGUCGAUGAUCGGUAGAGUUACCUGAGUCAGGUCGGUGCUCAGCUCCAUGCCUAUGUAUCUUCUUUCGAAUAUCAUCUUGCCUAAGACGACAGUGCUGAGAAAUGAGCAACUAUUUCGGAGCUUUAUAUGGGAAUCACAGCCUGGUGGAGCUGGGGGCGUGCAUUUUGUGGCUUGGGAUGUGGUGCACCAGCCAUAGUGAGAGGGUGGUCUGGGAAUCCAGUUCUUAGUCACAAGACGAAAGGCUUUGAUCGCUUGGCAUGCUGCCAGGUUUCUUUUCUACUCAGAGUCCAUGUGGAGCAUGAUGAUGAGUGCUAGGUAUGAUUCUUGGCCAGUUGGCAGUGAGAUCUAGGCUAGUCAGAGGGCCUCUGCUCUAUGGAGGGAGAUCUAUGUGUAGGCCCCCGAUGUCAUUCUCCAAACAAAAUGGAUGAUUGGAGACAGCCACUUUGUUAGUAUUCUCCAGGACUCCUGGAUUGUGGAUAUGCUUUUGACCCGAUGGCCAAUCUUCGUUAGUUCUGAGGUGACUGACUGGAUGAGAAUAUGUGAUCUUCUCUACACCGACGGUACAGGCUGAGACCCAGCUGUGGUGGCUCGCCUCUUUGGAGAGUAGUUGGUGGGUGUGUGAUGUCUUUGGUAGUUCCUCUUCACCGAUGUCUGGAUAUCAGAGUGUGGAGAUCCUCGAGUAUGAUGAGACCCAUCACAGUUGAUUUUUACCAAAUAUACCGAUCGAGAGGCUACUAGGCAUCUGAAUGGUGGAUGGAUUUGGAGGCUGGGGGUGCAUCCGAGAGUGAGUUUCUUCCUCUAAAAGGUCAUUUAGGGAAGGCUUUCGACUAGGACUAUUCUGAGAGAGAGAGACAUGGAUGUUCAGGCUAUUUGCCCCCACCAUAGAGUGGAGGAGACGGUGAAGCACAUGCUAUUUCUAUAUCCAUCAGCUAGACGGAUUUGGUUCUUAGCGAGUUUGCAUCAUCAGAUUGUUCAGGCAGAGGAUCUGAUUGGGGCCUUCAUUGAUCUUUUGAGGUGAAAGGCUCGGAGCGAUGCAUCCAGGAAAGCUGUUAUUCGCACUACCUAUAUCGCUAGCAUAUUUGGUUAGUCAGAAAAAUCUGAGAAUCCCAUCGUACUCACAUAACGACCAGACGGAUAUUCAUCGUUUGAGAGCCCCCACCUCCAGAAUAUCUGAAAGUUAAUUUUGAGGGGAGCAUUAAAGAUAGAAAUAUUGGCACUGGCUUUGUCAUUUGAGGGCCUAAUUCUAGUCUGGGGCAGUAUAAGGCCACUAUCUGUUUGAGCCAAUAAUUUCUAGAGCAAAACUUCAUAUAGCUUGAACUCAAAUUGUAUAUGCAUGAAGGAUGUUGGGAGUGAACCGCAUAACUAUUAAGGAUAACUCAGCUAUUAUAAUGUCUUAAAUUCAAGGGUGUAUACAGGAAGCAAUUAACCACCUUCUUUUGCAUCUCAUGACUUCUUCUACACCUCUCAAGAUGCAUUGAAUUUACAGCCAAACAUAUCUUCAAAAAGAUAAACACUGCAGUAGAUUGGAUAAUGAUCUACAUUGCAAAGUAUAUUAAAGAUCAUUUGUGGACCACCUGAGGGUGGUCCCUAAACAAUUUACAGAUAUUUUAUUUUUUAAUAUUUUUGAAUGUAUUCAUAGAAGGCUCGUUGAAUAAUUCAUUUUAGCAAAAAAAAUAAAAAAAUCGAAGAAUGGCCAGCGGUCUAGAGCAAGUAAGCCAUCCAUCCAGAUUACCUUUGAACAAAGUAUUGCUUUUUUGAACCAAAAAAAAAAAAACAGCCGUGCGGCUGUGAGAAUUACCUUCACGUUCGCUUAGAUGGGUCGAUGAUGAAACAUUAGCCGUAUAAUACCAUUUGCCGUGUUAAACUAGUUUUGAGGUAACAAAGGCAUCAAAAAGGUGGUGGGCAGAUCAGCUCUAAAUCAAUUUUAAAAGUAACAAUGUAAAAAAAUGACAGGAAUACAAGUCACAUUAACAAAAUAAGAAAUGGAACCAUCAAAUCGUGCCUGGUAAAAGCACAAGACCAACCUUAAUCAAAAAUGAACCGGACCCAAAAACUACAACUCUUUCUCUCUCCCUAUGGCAUUCCAUUAUAGAGAGGCACCUGCAUGAAUUGAGCCGGCCUCGGAAUCAGUGAUCAAAGAACUCAUCAAGCUGAGAAUUGGGGGCAUUUGGCACCAUGCUCUUGAUGAAACAUGCUUCAAUAGAGAUACUAAGUGCCAACACUAUUACAACAUGCCUUGCUUCCAGAGCAGCAAAAGAUUCCCACAUAGUUACAACAAAACACCAUAAUACAGAAGAAAAUAUUAGGAAAACUUACUCUGAGAAUUUUGAAUGUAUUUUAGACCACCCUAAUCUCUCCUUGCCCAAGCCACAACUACGCAAGGGAGGCAGCAAUUGCUGGGGCCAUAACAGAUCUCACCAGGACGGCUGUAUUUCCAGUCACUGGCUGAAAGGAGGCAGCAGUCUCCAGACGUUCCCAGGUCAUCUUUCUUUUCUCCUCCACUGCCACUCGUUUCUCUUCCUCCUCCUCAAACUUUCUUUGGCAAGCCAGAAAUAGCUCCUCAUCCAUCUCAGAGAGCAUCUUCCUAACAUUCAUUGUUAGAUUCAGGACUGCCUGAUUCCAGUGAUUCUGGCUGUUCUUCUCUAAAGCUGGCACGAUAAGGGGCAUGAUAUCCUGCCGGUUUUGUGCCACCAGACUUAUCACAUGGUCGUUGUUCCACAAGAAUAGAGCUCGUUCAGCAACCUGCAAUGUAAUUCUUAUUCUCUUAAAGCAACUGAUAGGAAAAUAAACAUGACGAAUGAUAUUAGACCAAUGAAGGGAUUGAACAAGAGGAACCCGCCACAAAUUCGCAUGACCUUGAUUGGGACCGGUUAAUAAUAUUAGACUAGAUGUCAAGAAGGCUGCGGUAACACCUGACAACCAUAGUCACAAGUUCGGCAUCCGGGAACAGUUUAGCUAAAAUUAGUGAUUCAAAAUUAGGAAAAAAAUUUGGUACAUUCGUCAAAAGUUUUGGGGAAAAAAAGGUAAACCAAGAAUUAAGCAAGAAAAAUAAUAAAAUUAAAUUAGACUUUCUAAACCAUUGGUUAACUUAUUCAGUUAAAAAUAAGUAUAGGAGAGGGAAAUGAUAGUAAUAAACAUUACUGCUAGCAACAAUAGUGUCAUCCAUUUGUAACACAAACUUAUUUAAAUUUAGCUGCAAUCAGCUCGUCAAAAAAUCAAAAAAUUUGUUUAUAAUUAUAGACUAAUUGAAUACUUCUGGAUUGAUUCAUUUUUGGAAAGCAAUUUGGAGACUUUCAAGAGAAAAAACCGAGAACAAUUCUUAAAUUUUUAAAUAAUUAUGAGGAUUUUGUAACCACGGUAACAACCAAUUGUGGUGUAGAUUUUGGGAAGACAACUUGCUGAUAAAGUGCAUAUAACAUAUGCUCUAUCUUAAAGUCAUAGCAUUAUCUUUGAAAAAAAUAUCCGGUUCUCAGUGUUCAACAUGAUAUUAACACUGAACUACUGCGAUGAUAUAAUGUCUCUUUCAGUCAAAUGUAUUGGGCAACCGUAACAAGCCCCAAUAAUCACUACCCCAGCAAAUAUAGGUAGGGUUUGUAAAUGAUUAUUCUUCACCAAAUCAUUUACAUACAGGGCCAUAUCUACUUCCAAAUGCAACUUAUUUCAAUUCCAGUGUUCACUGUCAAAAAUUGAUGUGCAAGGAUAUGCAUAGCUUUGAUAAAUAACAACAAAUGGAGAUAUUUGGACAAUAUUAAUGAUAAGCAACAAAAAAAAAAAAACAAAGGGCUCCAGCACAGUGGCGGAUGCAUCUUAAUAAAAUGUGGGGUCAAUUGACCCCAACAAAAAAAAAAAAAAAUUAAGAUAUACACACACACACACUAAGAAAAGUCAAAUUGACCCUAUUAAUUUGAUGAAUUGACCCCAUAUCUCAUGUAAAAUUUUAAAGAAAUCAAAGAUAAAAAAGAUCACAUAAUAAGAGUAAUUAUGACCUACAUUCUCUCUCUUUAACGACUCACAUGUCCUAUCUCUCUCUCUCUCCCCCAACCCCAUCUAUCUACCUCUUAUGUUUAAAUCCCAUAUCAAUGUACCACAUCAAAAGAUGAAAAGAGUAAUUAUUACCUACAUUUUCUCUUUCUUUAAUGACUCACAUAACUCACCUCUUUUUCCCUCUCUCACACCACUUUGACCUCUCCCUCUCUCUCUCUCAUUCUCUCUUUCUUUAUUCAUUAAUUCUCUAUUUAUUUUUUAAUACCCCAUCUCAACCCCAUGGUCCCCAUCCAUCCACCCCUUAUAUUUAAACCCCACAUUAAUUUAUUUUUUAUACCCUAGUUAAUCUAAAUGCAAUAGAAAAUCAUAUAUUCUUCUUGUCUCUUUCUCAACCUGAAUCAGGUAUGUUUCUUUUAGCUUCUUUUAUUUUUAUCUUCUCUUUUUUUUCACUGAUAUCAAAUAGAAUUUUGCUAUGGUGCUCCUUUAUAAUAUUUUAUUAUAAAAGAUAUUUAAAAUAUUAUAUAUUAUCAUAUAUAUAUUUUAUUAUUUUUAAAAAUAAUAUUUUUUAUUUUUUUCUUUCUUUUUUCUCCCUUCGUGGCUCCUCCGUUUGCUCCUCCGUUUGACUGCUUUCCUCUACUCAUAGCUUCUCCACGCCCACCUCCCCCCACUCGCCGCUCCAUCUCACUCUACCCACGGCUCCACGCCCCACACGAGGCCACCUAUGGCUCCUCCGCCCAUCUACAGCUUCUCCACCCUCAGUCUACCCCACAGGUCCUCCUUACAAGUGAUGCAGAAAUAGCACUACACUUUAUUUAGUUCUCAAUGUUCUUAUUAUUUAUUCUUUAUUUUAUAUUGAUCCCACAAAAUAAAAUUUUUGGAUCCAUCGCUGCUCCGGCAUUAAGAAUUCAUAUAUGCAAAAGCAAUGGACAGCAAUGUCAUGGCAUAGAACAUAUACCCACGGAAUUCAUGAUGAGUCCAGAAGAAUAUUAAGAAAAAGGCCCCCAAAUAACAAAACAACAGAAGUAUCGUGUCAAAAACGGUUAACAAGAUAUAACGGCAUACAAUUCUGGCUCGAUGGAUGAGAAUCAAACAAUUGCCACCAAAGACAACUCUUUGUGAAACAACAAUAAUUACAAUAGGCUAAUUCUCUUUAUGAUUUACUGAUAUUUACUUUUCUGGACAUAUCUCAGGAAGGUAUGGAACUUGUAAGUCGGUCCAAAAACAACCCAGAUCUAGAUCUGGCCUUCACAUUAUCACUCUUUUAGCACAGAUUUCUUAACACCCAAAUCUGUGAAACAAUCCGAGGAGAAAACUUGCCUUAUUAAAUUACUGCAGCAAAGUGAAUCACAUAAAGCCAAAUAUACACCGAACGUCGAGAAAGUUCAGAUAGUCAAGUUCAACACCAGCACAAGGAAAUGAGUACACACAAAACCAGAAGCACUUAAAGAUUCCACUGGACUAAAAAUCUAAUGUAAACACAGCAUAAUUUGCCACCCUAAGCAUCUCAAUGGGGUCUUCUUUUGCUAAAGUGCUUUACAUGAUUCCAUAAGUGAAUUUAGUUUCCGUGCAGUAAGAUUUCACAGCCAUUUUUAACACACUAAAAGAAUACAGAUCCUACUUUAAAGCUUGUAGGUCACAUCCAGAUCUAAAACAAAAGUUGCCCAUAUAAGUGAAUUUUCAACAGUUUUGCAUGGAGGCCCCACAAAUUGUAAAACAACACCCACCAUGAGCUUGAUCGUAUGAUAGGGUGGGAACAUCCAAUCUUACGUACAACAUAACAAUGGGAUUGGUUUUGGACCUGUUAUAUCACUCCUUUGAUGGCUCGGCAAGAUAAGUAUCAAUGCCCCCAUGAGGAACCAUGCAAGCGUGUUUGGCCCCACAUCAACUAUGCACCAGGUAGAAUAGAUCUUAGGUAUUCAUAUAGGGCCAAUGAAACCAAAUAACACCCUCCGACUAGCCUUUUGGAAUGAGGUUGUGUUAUUACAAAUUAUAUCAGAGUGAACCCGGCUCAUGGCCCAUGUAGACUACGGAUACUACAACAUGGGUCUAUUUGAGCCGACCAUGGACUGAUCAUGAUGUUUGUGAUUGGAUUUGAAUAGAUUUGAACUUUUGACCUCGUAAGAACGUCAGGACCUAAAUGGAGAUAGUAUGUGAGGAUCUUGGAUAUUUAUACAGAGCUAAAGAACUCAAAUAAAACCUUCUAGCUAGCCUUUUUGGAUGAGAUCUUAGGUUGUUAUAGCCCCAGUUCUAAGCAGCCAUAAAACUUAAUGGCCAUCCUCUAUUCUUCAAAAAGAAAUACCUUUUUCCUUCUAUGGAACAAAGAAUAGGUUGUCAAGAACGAUCACCAACAUUUAAUUAUAAUAUUUACAAAAAACAGUUCCUACUUAUAACACCACUUCUUGGGGAAAACAACAAAGAAACAGAAAAAAUUGUUCUGGACCUCGUAAAAGGACUUAAAAUGUGUAUCCCACAACUUUCUUUAUCCUGGUAAAAAUAACACAAGUAUCACUGUUCCUAGACUUUUUACCUCCAACAAAAGCUCAAUUUUGCCUUGCUUGUGUUUCUAAAGUUCCUCUUGAGUAAAAUUCAAAUAUGUCAGCCCCUUACAAACUGAAGUAAACAUAGUAGCAUAUAGGUGUCACUUACUGAUAUCCAAUAUUGCUUGCUUAAUAUGAUUCAUUAUUCCUGUAUCCAUGCAUACCGAGCAAAUCAACAUAAAUACAUCAAAUAUAAUAAAUCAUAGCAUAAGUAUAAGAAGGUGCCUAUUACAACUGAUUUUGUUUUCCUUUUACCAAAUUUCUUAUGCAUGUACAAAUGGAUCACAUAAAGAAAUGGAAAAUUUGGUAAGGAGACUUCUUUCAACCCACAUAUUAUAAAACACAAAGAAACCCUAAUUCCAUCUACAUGGCAAAAUACCAAGGUGAUAGCAAGAAUUAGUUCCUGCUUGGGCAGUACACCUCAAGUGGCUUUGACGUUCUCUCAGAUUGCUUUCUAAAAUAGAAAGGUUAACGAUGUACAAUAAAACAUAUCCUUAGUGGGAGUUAAAGGUUUUUAAGAACUUAUAAUGAUUAUCUACGACUGCACAUCAAAUUAUACAAAUCAAAUGGUACAUGCAACUUGAGUUGCUCAAAGUACAAGCCGCUUAACUUAGCGUGGGUGACAUACAUAAAAGGACUAAUGAAAUCUCGUUAUUGAACAAGCAAGAUAGUAUCUCAGGUAUAUUGACAAAUAUCAAGUCAACCAAUGUGAGUAAAAUUACAAGUUUGAUUGUCAUAGUAAAUCAAACAAAGUUGAUUACUUGACUAGGAGAGACAAUUUGGCCAAUAAAGUUAAUAUGUGUCUCUAAUGAAUUGCACGAAAUCAAGAUUUGAAAUGUCACCAGAUAUAAGGUUUCAUCAUUCAAGCGAGUUGGUUCACUUUAUUCACCAAGUUUUAGAAUGUCCAAAAUGUGAUGCAAUUAGACUUUCAUAUUCCCAUACAACAUGUACCUCAAUUUUUCUUUUUGACCUGUUGCAAAUGCAAAUGGAAAUGCCACAAAAGCCAAGGCCCAUUCAAAUGGUGAGCUGCACAUCCAAUGUGGGUCCGUUCUAUGCUUGAUAGCAUGAUCAACUCAAAUUGAUAUACAACGAAUCCUAUACAACUUUAGAGGUCAACUUACAAUAACGUCAACUGUUUUUAAAAAGUCAAACUGAUCAAUAUAAAAUAACUUGCUUGACUCAUCACUAGUGCAAAAAGUCAAGCUCAAAUUGGUCAAUAUGAUUAUUUAGGUCAACUAGGUACAAUUUUCGGAAAAAGCUAACUGCUUAAAUUGGUUAAUUUGGUUGAACAAUAUUACCAGUAUAAGUCAAUCUUGCAAAAUAUUGGACAUUCAAAAAAAGGGUUUCCAACUCACAUAGUGCCAAAAGUAAAAAUAAAACUAGAAUCUAGCGAACUCAACUUUCAUGAAGCCUAUUUCAUUAUUAAGAGCAAUUAUGCAUGGUUGGAAAACACUGUCCUUCUACAAUAAGAAUUGAAAGCUCUAUACCAGCAUCCAGGUCUUACUACAUGAGAACAAACCACAAUGCCUAGAUCUUACCAGUCCCAAAUUUCAUAGAAAUCUAAUGUUCAGGCUUGCAAAAUAAGUAUUACAAGUCAAAAACUUUUUCCAAGAUUUUAAAUCAUCAAAGACAUAAACCUCUUAACUACCUAAUAUUAGAAAGGAACACCACAACCACCAAGCAAAAAGGAAUCCCAUUAAUAUUAUGCACAUUCUGAUUAUGCAUUCUUCAAUACAUCAAAAAGAAAGGCCUUCGCAUGGGAACCACAAAUAGCUAUCAUCAAUUCAUUAUUAUUGAUUCCACGAUGGGUAAAUUUCAUUUGCCCGAACUAAUACCUUAGAAGCAUCACACAUUAGACAAGUAUAAUUUCCAUGUCAAAAUCUUUCAGUUCAUGAGUAACCAAGCAAGCAUAAGUGCAUGUGUGUGUUUGUGAGUGUCUACAUGUUCAUUUGAAAGGAAUAGGGAACAUCCACGCCAAGAAGCAAGAGAGUAAAGCCUUAUCCUAGUUGUUUUGAUCAGCAUCAUGAAAACUUCUUUGCCAAAAAUUCCUCUUACAGCCUCCACCAGAUUUCAUUUUAUGCUUUCCAGUUUUAAUCUACUUUUUCCACAAAAGGUUGUCUCUCCCUGUUUCUUAACCUUCAACACAAAUCCAAGCUCCACCCCCUUGGGGAACUCUCCUUAAAACUCCAUACAUUUUAAUCGGUUCUCUACAUCUUUGUCCUUGAUUAGUGCACUUCCUACAUUUCCUAAUUUAGCGCUAUGGCAAUUAUUCCAUACCAUCUCCAACAGAUCAAUCCUGCCGCAACUGAAAACCCAAUUUACCUUGGUUUACUUUCUAUUGUUUUUGUGAAGUGAUCUAUGGUUCUAACGGGCCAUGAAGUUGAUCGGUUAUGGGUUUGAUAAUGCUAAUAUUUUUAAACGAUCAAUUAAAGAUAACAAAAGGUGGAUUGGAUUGCACAAAAAGUUGUUGUGGCUGAAGAAAAGCUUUUCUAUCCAUUCUAUCUACCGGGAUAAGCAUGAUUAUACAUUUUUAUGUAUAAGGAGGCUAGUCCACCUUGCUUCAUUGAGACCGUGGCACACUCAUCAAAUAAGAUAGGACAUGGUAGAUUAAAAAUCCAAGUUGAUCUAUGAAUCUUGUACAUAUCUAUCACCCUUGAUCUUUGCUCUAGAUCUCGAAGAAUUGCGAAACUCAGUCUCAUCUAAUCAAGCAUGUGAAUUAAAACCUUGGUAUACUUGGUUCAUAUGGGACAGCAUCAGAAUUAUCGGACUGGUGUUAUGAACCAAACCCGACUCAACCCUGGAUGAAAAUUUCCUAUGUAGCUGGCUCCUAAGGCCAGCCCUAGGUGGCCAACUACAUCUAGAAACCCUGGGGCAUCCACAUGCCUAGGGCUUCCUAGGUGGUUGCCACAUGCUAGGGUCCAAUCCCGGUGGGUUGCCAACCCCAUGGUUUCCUAGGUUGGCACCACAAAUGCCUCAGGCUUCGACCAUAGGGAUGGCAGGGACACAACAUUUGGGUGUGUGUGGUUUUCUCAUAUCACAGUGAGAACUCAAGUAAGAGUUCUCUAGUGCCACCAACAAAGAGAGAGAGAGAGAAGGAAGAAACAAAAAAAGAGAUAAGGAAGAGAAUACCAAGUAAUUUAAGGGCUUGCUGAAAGUGAGCACUCUGUGUGACGUCUAGAGAAGUUUUCAUCCAUCUUCCUCCCUCUUCUUGCAUUCUCAAAUCAUCUGUACAAGUAUCAAUCUGUCUUGCCAUGUGUGUAAUCUAUAUUUCUUCGAAAUUUAUCAGAAAAAGAGUGAUCUGAUUCCUAUUCUCCUGCUACAUCACAAUGUUGUACUGCAUAAGCGUCCAUUAGGUUUCUCGUCACCUUAUCCAUAAUUCGCUUAAUAUUUAUAUUUUUAUAUUUUGCAAUAUGAGAUCGUAUUGUAUCAACCCAAAACAAACCAAUAUUGCAAUCUUUAAAUAGAUAGGUCUAAAUCACACCUUGAUUGUUACCAUCUUUUUUGCCUUGCCUGUAACCAAUAGGAGACAUGACAUGCAUCCAUUUUGCUUGUAUCAGAAGUAGACAGUAAUAGGAAACACAAGCAUUUCCAAAGAAGGUAAUCAGGAGAUUGAAGACAUCCCAUGGAUUUUUCUUUCCUGUGAAAUAUUUAAGGCUUGCCAAUUACAUAUCCUUGUUUAACAUGUCCUGUUUCUCAUGUAAUAAAAAUUACAUCAUCACCAAAUAGAAAAUAGGCACAAUGUAAGAUCACAAUCUGUCCAGAUCUCUCUGUGGAUAGAAAAAAGGUUUCAGACAAUGGAGGGUAUAAACAUAAGAAAUCACCAAUACAACUAUAAAACAGAAAACAUGCAACUAAAAGAAACACAGAGGGGUAAAAGUCUCCAGAUUACACUAACUAAAUAAGGAUAUAGGUCAUGCUGAUUAGCAACUGAUAUAACAAGUACUCGACAAUCAUAAUGACUGUAAACAACGAGGAUGCAAACAUGCAUCUAGCUAUUCCAUAAGCAUAAUCAUUUUGACAAAUACUUGAAAGCACAAACAUAACAGAGGAAUUACUAAAAGGAGAGAAAGCAUCCAUACCAGCAUACCCAGAUUAAAUUACGAAAUAAUGUCCUUGUGGCAGAAUAUUUGGGAAAAAAGAAGAUGUUAUGUUUUACUAACAGCUACUUCUUCAAUAGCUUAGAGCAGGACAAUGAUUGGCAGACCAUCAUAUGGAAUUAUCAGGCACACAGGCAGAUCAGCAGUUUUACUUUUGUCACAAUAAAGAGGCAGCCUCUAUGAUGACAGGGGUGAUAAAAGGUAUUGCCAAAAACUAGAAGUACCAAAAAAAAAGGUUAAAAAUACGUAUAUGUUUAGAAAAAAUCAACUUGCCCAUCCUUUUUUU